AAUUCGAUAAUCAAAUCAAAAUUCAAAUUCGAAUCCGAAACCCAUCGGGUUUCGAAAAUUCAUAUGCAGAACUAAACCCGAUUAAAAAUUCGAAACCUAAACUCGAACCACGAACCCAAAAUAGUCAUUUUUCUUUGGCUAAAUUAUAUAAAAUCUCCCUGUCAAAACCCAAAUUUUCACUUUUUUUCAUGUCAUUUAAAAACCUAUAUUUUGUCCCCUUGUAAAAUAAAAAAUAGUCACAGGGGGUACAGUGUAAACUGUGAUGACAAAAUGACCAUUUUGCUCCUCACCAUUUUUGGUAACAGGAGAGAAGGCUGAGGGUAUUUUUGGCAUACAAAAAUAUAAAAUAAUAUUUUAUAAACAGAACCCUAACGGAUCACUAACGGCAGGGGGGUGAAAUAAAUAUUUUUUAUUUUAUAAGGAGGCAAAGUGUAGGUUUUUAAAUAACAGAGAGGGAAAGUGAAAAAUCGGGUUUUGACAGGUAGAUUUUUUAUAAUUUAGCCUUUUUCUUUACCAUAUUUUAAAAUAUAUUUAUUAAAAUUAUAAAUUUAAAUAUUAUAUUAAACAUUCAUAUGUAUAUAUAUAGAGAGUGCAGUUACUAUACUCUUAUGAAUAUAGUAGCUGUUGUACUCAUAAGUUUUUAAUCAUCAAAUUUGCUUCAAUAUCUGUGCAGAUCUGAUAGCUUAUCAAACUAAAUUAACUACCCCCAGUUAACUCCAUUCAACCAAGUUAACUCUUAAUUAAUUUCUCCUCCAACAACCCAACCUUCCCCGACCACACCUACUAGGGUGCGGCACGGCCGACAUUUGCUGUGCCGAUUCGGGGUCUUCGCCUUCCACCCAACAAGCUUGGCUUGGAUUUUGUCCCAUAGGGGCUGGCAGUGUGUGGUGCUGGGCCGGAGCUACCAAGCCUUCGGCCUAGCACAUCCGCGGAAGGCCCGGUGUCGGGCCGGACCAUGCUCGGGGUCGAGCCCCUAAAAGGUUUUAUUUUUUUAGAAAAUAUGUAAAAUUUAAAAUAUAAACAAUAAAUUAUUUCUAUGUAAAUUAAUAUUUUGAUUAAAAAUUUAAAAUUUAUAAAAAUAAUUAUAAUAUAACAAAUAUUUAAUUUUUUCUAAUAUAUAUAUAUAUAUAUAUAAUUUUUUAUUUAAAAAAAAUUAAGAGCGUUUUUUGGUCCAAUCCAUUGGACCAAAAAGCUCCUCCCAAGGUCUGCGGUGAAAGACCUUUGGAGGAGAGCUCCUGGCCCUUUUACCUAGAAGCUCAAACCCUAAGACUGCCUUGAGCCUUGUCGUGUCAGGUCAUCGGGCCCAACAGGAGAGGCCCAACAUGGCCCUGAAGCUCGGGUCGGGCUAGGUCGGCACGGGUGCCACUGCACUCGUGCCGUACUACAGCCUAGCUCGAGGUCAUGCCGGGCCAGGCAAUCCGUACGGCCUCACCACCCAGCCCAUUUUACAUCCCUAGUUGCACUUGCACCACCCUUCUCCUUGGCCUAUGGCAUGGCCGCACUCUUGGUUGAGGGCGCCGGCACAUCAGACCUCCUCCCUCCUGGCCACCCACGCCGACACCACCGUAGAGAGAGAAAGAGAAAGAGAGUCCUACGGUGCUUUUAAAAGCACCGAGUAUUUGGUGCUUGUAAGGUUUUCACACUGUUAGAUUUAUCCCCUUGACUAAUUUCAUCCUUUUGAUCAUACUAUUUCACCAACUACCCACUUAAUCCUAGAGAUUAAUAUCAUUUUAACUCUAUAAAUUUUCGUUCAAAGACAAAAAAAUUAUAAGCAUCAAUAACUUAACACUUUUACAAGGUUUAUUCUUUUUCUUUUUGGAUGUGUAAGGAAGGACAAAAUUGAUUAUUUUACACAUUAAUCAUAAUUAAGUUAUUUGGUUCAACUUUACUUAUGGUUCAACAAAUUUUACUAACAGACUCUAAAAAUACGUAUAAAUAUGAACUUAUAGACACAUUAGGAGGGAGACAUAUUCAAUUACUCAAACUUUGGAGGAAUAUGUCUGUAAUUUGAUAUGUCUGCAAGGAUCGAGCUAAAUGCAAUUAAUUCAAAACGAUAUUUUAUGUUCCCCAAACCUAAUUAAAUUUUGGUUAAUUUCAUACCGGUCCCUGUAAAUAUAGUGAAUUGCAAAUAUAUCUCUGCAAAGUUCAAUUAUAUAUGUUGUCUCUGUAAAAGUUCUAAUAUUUUCAAAUAUAUUCUUUUUUAGAAAACUUUUACUUUUUUCAACUUUCAUUAUCCACAGUUUUCAUUUUCCAAUACAAAACAAAUCGAAUUCCCCUCAAAUAGAUUCUUUUUUAGAGAAAAAUAAUAUCCUAUUCAUUUCACUUAUUUUUUUUUAAAAAAUUUGUUAAAAAUAUAAAAUAAUUAAAUUUUAAAAUUUAAAAUUUGAGAUAUCAAUCAUUAAAUUUUUUACCGUAUGCGUUAACACAAAGGUCGAUACUAAUCAUCAAUAGUUAUUAAAUCUUUUGUUGGGUCUUUGGUCCCUAUUUUUUGUUUUUUUUUAAAAAAAAAAUUUGUGGUGUCAUUUAACUCACGGCUCUUUUUCAAUAGAAGGUUCUAAAGCGACCACCUCUAAAAUAUCUAAAUAAUAAAUUACUAAACCGUGGACAUGGGCUAAAUUGUGAUCGAAGGGGCUCAAAAUCAAUUUUGCGAUUUUUCAAAAAAUUUUGCAAUUUUUCGAUACCAUUUGCUUAGUGAUCGAAGGGGCUCAAAAUCAACAGCGGAAAAUAAAAAUCUUACAAAAUAUGAUGAUAUGAUAUUAAAAUUUUAGAUCAAAGAUAUUGAUAUUAUUUUAUAUAGUAUAAAGAAUUUUCUAUCAAAAUUUUACGUGAUUUGAAUAUUUCUACACCAUUGAACUUGCAAAUGGCUUACCAUAGCCAUUAAAAUUAUUGAUUUUGAGUUCCUUCGAUCACUAGGCAAAUGAUAUUAUAAAUCAAAAAAUUUAUUUUCUAGAUACUUUAAAUACUCUAUAUUAUGUCUAACGGAACCAAUUGUCGAUUCGAAAGCCCCAACGUCGAAAAUGACUUAGAAACAUAAAGAGCUCCGUACUUUUAGAAGUAUAUAAGCCUCUCUCUCUCUCUCUCUCUCUUCUCUCUUAAUUAGUAAGUAUAGAAUAUAAUAUAAGGAAAGAUAGGAGAGGGCGGUGCCGGGACACACGGCAGUAUAGGAACAUUAGUCACGGAAUUUAGUAUAUAGUAAUAAAUAAUAAAUAAUUCUAAACUCAUAGAACGUCGUAUGGGACUUUAUUAUAUUUGGAAAACACUCACGUUUAUAAAUGCACUAUUGAAACUUAACAAAUAAACAAAUAUUAAUCAAAAAUUAUUUAAAUAUGUGAGACUUCUUAUAUUGUUCUAUAUUUAAAAUAUAUAUUUUUGUAUUAUUUUCAGCAGCUAAAUUUUAUUAUGAUAGUUUUGAAAUUUCAGAAGAAACAUACAAAGAUCACAAAUAGAUAGAAUUUGAAACAUUACUUGAUUUAAUUUAUUGAUUAAUAUUAUUUAUGAGGAUUAUGAUUUGUGACAACACUUAGUCUUUCAAUAUCAGCUAAUUUAAUUACUUUAAUUAAUUUUAGUAAAUUAUUUUAGAACGUAAUUUUUGAAUAUUAAUAAUAUUAGUGAUAACUUCAAAUACCAUUCUUGUGUUUCAGACUUUCUCACUUUAUAUUCUGCAAGUUUAAAGAGUAUUCACUUUCGUAUCUAUGAUUUUAUUUUAUUUUUUUUUUUUUGUUAUUUUCUUCAUUAUUUUUUUCGUUAAAUCAGUGACAAAUUUAAAACUAAAGAAUAGUAAAAUAAAUAUUCAAUAAAGUAUAGAUAGUAUAUCUAAUUUUUUUAUAUAAUUUAAUAAAAAAUUAACGGAAGAACCCACGAAUCACAAAAUAUUAAUAUGAGAAAAUAUAAAAUUAUAAAAAUAAUAUUUAAAGUUUAUCUAUAAUAUUAUUACGCCAUUCAUGUCUCUUUCAUGAUUACGGAUCGAGACGAAUUCGUAGCGCGUGACAGGCAUCGCCAAUUGGUCAAUAAAUAAAUAAUUAAUUUAGAGAGUGAAAAGUAGUCAAUACUUCUGUGUCCAAUCAAUUUCGCAGACAAAUGAUCUUUGACUCUGAAGGACGAUCGACGGUGGUGAUUGAUUGAUGAUGAUUGUCGUGACAAGCAUUUAUUACAAACUUUUUUUUUUUUUUGCCUUUUUCUCUUUCGGCGGUAUGGCCGGUGAUAUUUCUCUUUUACAUCAAAUAUUGACCACGUUUUUUACAAUUCUGUGAGGUUUGUAUUGGAAAAAAAAAAAAAAAAAAAAAAAAAAAANNNNNNNNNUGUAUCAAGUUAGUACCCUGUGGUUUUGCACUUUAUCACUUUAGUACACUGUGGUUUUAAUUUUGUAUCAAGUUAAUACCCUGUGAUUUUUUAAACCAUAGAGUACUAAAGUGAUAAAGUGUGAAACCACAGAGUACUAAAGUGAUAAAGUGAAAAACCACAGGAUACUAACUUGAUACACUUUAAACCACAGAGUACUAAAGUGAUAAAGUGAGAAACCACAGGGUACUAACUUGAUACACUUUAAACCACAGGCUAUUAAAAUAAAAAAGUGUGAAACCACGGGGGUUUUUGAAGUUUUCCCAAAAAAAAUCUUCAAAUAUUCUUAUUUUUAAUAAUUUAUAAUUUAAAAUAAAUUAUUUUAGUAUUUUUUUCGUUAUUUUUUUCGUUUAUUUUUUGUUCAAAUAUAUAGAAAUAAAACUUCAGAUAACCCAAUAGUUUACCGAAUAUUCACUUUAUUAUCUCGUAAUUUACGAAAUUUUUUACUUUAGUGCUUUAUAUUUUCAACUUUCUUAUUGAUUUAACAAAAAAUUUAAUGAAUAAGAUAACGAAAAAAAAAAAAAACAAAACCAUAGAGUACUAAAGUGAUACAAUUUAAAUCACAAGAUAUUAAAAUGAGAAAUGCUGAACCAAGGGGUGGUAUUUGAAGUUUUUCCUGUCAAAAACUUUGUUAAUGACUUUUAGUUUUUGUUUGAUUCAAAAUUGAAAUAAAAAUAAAAAAAUUAACUUAAAUUGGAUUGAAAUAAAAAAUUGAAUAGCUAAUCAUUUAAAAAUAUUUUAUUUAUUAUUAAAAUGAAAAUUGAAAUAAAUAUCUAGAAUUUUGAGAUGGGUUUCGAUUAGAAGGAACAUAGUGAUGACUGACGAAGGAAGAGGAGAGCGGGAUAUUUACAAGAGAGGAUUUUAAGUGAUUUACUUUGGAAUAAAUUAAUCUGAAAUCUAAAGCCGGAUUGGAUCAAAAAUGAAUUAGAACAUUCCUUUUCCAAACUGAGAUGAGAUUCAUGAUUUCAUUCCUGUAUAACAAGCAACAACCACAGAAAUCAACAAAUCUCAUUCUGAGUUUACAGUCUAAAAUGAAUAAACCAAACAAGAUGUUAGGAAAAAGCGUACAAUUCUAAACUUUGGACCAUUUUAAUUCAAAUAUUUUUUUUAAUUUUUUUUUUAAAAUUUUAUUAUUUAAUUUUUUUAACUUGUUUAAUUUGAGUCAGUUAAUGUAACUUGAUUUUAGAAAAUGAAUUUAUCGCUUUUAUGUUUAUAGAUUUAGUUAAUAUUUUUCGUGUAAUUUUUAUAAUUAUAAAUUUAUUAAAGUAAUUAGCUUUAAUUUUAAAGCUAAAAUACUAUUAACUAAUUAAAAUAAAAAAAUUAAAAGAUUGCAUCAUAAAUUUAAAAUUUUUAAAUUUUAAAUAGUCAAAUUAAAAUAGUUUAUAAUUCAGGCAAAUUUUAUAUAUUUUUACCAUGACUGUAUAAAUAAUGUAAGACUUUAUCUUAAAUUAAGUACCCUUUUUACAAUUUUCGAAGUAUUUAUAAUACUUCUUUGUUGUUUCGGAUAACAAGGAAGCAUUCAAAUUGACAAUCAAUGUAUGUAAACAUGAUCUACCUAAAAUAUCAUAAUAAUACCUCAGUAUAAAUAUCUUUAAUUUUUAUUCUACAAAAUAAUGGUUCUAUUUAUGUAGUGUUUCUGAGUUUUGGAUAGGAUUGGCUUCAGUGUUAGUGACUGGUCGACACAUUUGGAGAGUGUCAGACUGCGUCGGAGUCGUUUCUGCGUAAAAUGGAUGCAAAAAUAGACUCGGCGCACUCAAAUAAGCAAAACUGGAGUUUUGCCAGAUUCGGGCGCCCAGAACAGAGUUUGGGCCGCCCAGAAGUUGAGUGCAAAACUGAGCAGAACUGGAAGCCAAUUCGGAUCCGUGUUUAUGGCGCCCGGAAGUAGGUCCGAAAACUUUACCUCGUGAAUUUCGAUCGUGCUGACGCGUGGCCGAUGGUAGGUGAGGUCCACCGGAGCCGGAUAUGGGCAUAGCACACCGCGGGCGGAGAGUCCGAUAAGGAAGUUUGUGUAGCCUGGAUGGUUCGGGCGCCCAUAAUGUGGGUUCGAGCGCCCGGAAAUGCCCGUUUCUGCAGAGAUACCAGAUACCAACUGUUCCUCUUGGGGCUUAUCUUACCCUUCUAGCAGCCUAUAAAUAGACGGAGAACAUCUCUAGUAUGCUCUUUUCCUCCCUUCUUCACAGAGAACCCUGAUUUUGCUCUUCAAUCCUCCAAAUCUUCUCAAAUUGCAUCAAAGGUCCACAAAUUCAGCUUGAGGAGUGCUGAUUCUGCAGUUUUCCAGCAACGACCUUCGGUAUUUUAGCUCGUGUGCGACGUAGGAAGGUCGGAUUGCGGUAAAACUUGGUUUGUUGGAUUCUAGAUUUUAAGAGGAAUCCACGAAGUACAAUAUUGCAGAUUUUGGUAAAGGUUAGCUUGGUUGGAGCUUAAGUUCUUCUCUGCUGCUGUUGUUUUGGGCAGAUUUUCAAGUUUAUGAGUUUUCUUUGAUGCUACCUUUGGAGGCAGGGGGAUUUUGGACCUGAGAUUGAUACUCCAUCAUUAUUCACUAGAUUUGAAACUUGUCUCACCUGAAUUGGAGAUUAUUAGGUGAGUUUUGACAUUGGAGUUGAGACAAUUAAGCUUAAGUGCUGAAAUUUGGUGAAUUGAUGGAUUUUGAUGGAUUUUGGGUGUAGAUCCUUCGAGUAGCUUUAUUGCUAGUUGUGGGUGAUCUCGGCUGAGGCUUACAGCAAUUCGUGGCCUUCUUGCUGCCAGGGAAAGAGCAUUUGAGGUGGGUGUUUCAUCGGUUUCGCUCCUAAGUGCUUGUAGUCGACAUGUAUGAUUUCGGUUCUUUUAUAUCAUGUUGUAGCUCAAAUUCAUUGAUUGUAGCAUGUAUAAAGUCUGAAUUGGGAGUAUGACUAUUAAUUAGCUGAAUAUACAUGUUAGACUUGAAAUUUGACUUAGGAGAAAACCAGCGAUUCGACCUGUCAUAUGAUUCUACUACUUGAUUUACCUCUAGGAGUCGUGGUUUGAUUGUAUCACUACUAUUUCAGCGCGGUGGAUAUCCGGGGUAGUUUAAAAAGCAUUUACGCUUGUGCUGGGAUGCGGAGCUUAUUUUUACAGUACAGUUUAGGUUGUUUCAGGUUGUCGGGUGCCGUCGAGGUGGACGGUGGACCCAGAUUUCUGUUUUUAGUCUCAGAUUGUGCCGAGGGCACGUGGGUUUGGUUUCUAGACCUGUUUUGACCCCAGCUUCUUGACUUUGGCUUGUUAGAGCCUGAUUGAGCUCGACAGAGAUACGCUGCAUACUAGGUUGGGUAGCUCCCACGAGUGCCACUCCCGAGACGGGCGCUGUGCUUUUGCCUUGGUGUCGUUCGUGCAGGUUGGACUUGCUCUCCACGGACUGGUUAGUGUGGAGGUAGCUGUAUAGUCGCAACUGCGCAGGACGGGUGUGUUCACAGUCCCAGGGACGGAUAUGAUUACAGUCUUUAUUUGAGAUUGGGUCUGAGUUGACACUAUUCUACAGAUGGUUAGAUUUAGAGCAUGAUAGUAUAGUGGCAUAUAGCUGUAGAUUUGUUCUAACUUUCUUUACUAUUCCUGCUUAUCCUUGUAGACUUGUGGAUAGAUCGAUGAGUUCGAGGACGGUACCCAUUGAGGACUACUUUUUUUUGUAGUAGUUCUCACGCCCAGUUGUUACCACUGUUUUUGCAAAGCCGUGGCCUUUGGCUGCUGUUGCUGAUCUUGAUCGUGGCAAGGGCGUCGCGAGUUAAAGCCCUUCCAGACGAGUUGCAGAGCUAGAGGAGCACCAGCUACAGGUAGUUGUAGUUUUUGGGCCUUUACAUACAGUUGUUGUAUGUCGCCAGAGACAGUAUUUGUAUACCCUGAAUGACAUAUAUGUAUUGAAUUGCAGUUUAUGUUUAUGGUUUAUUUUCCUAACUGCUCUAUACUACUGUUUGUAGUAUUGUAUGAUUACAGGUACUUCUAUUUUUUCGCUUCGUAUACAGGGGAACUACCUAUGCAUACGGCGGGUCUGUUAGCGAGCUCGGGGAAACGAGUAAUCCGGGACGUGACAAUCUGAAGGUGUUCGUGGAUCGGAUCGGCUCUAGCUAGUUGAUAUACUUUAUCCAUAUCCUAAAAAAAAAUGGAUAGAAAGAAAAUAUAUAUACCCUACUCAUUUAACUUCGAAUCAGGUCUAGAUCUGAGUGCUUAAGUUAAUAAUAUACCCAUCGGGUCUAUUUGAGCGGGUCUGAAUAGUGACUAUCAGUAUACUACGCGCUUAAAGCCGGGUAUAGGUUGGAUAUGAGUGCUUAAGUUAAUAAUAUACCCAUCGGGUCUAUUUGAGUGGGUCUGGAUAGUGACUAUCAGUAUACUACGCGCUUAAAGCAGGGUAUAGGUUGGAUAUGAGUCGGGUCUAGAUCAGGUAUGGAUAUUCAUAUGCAUAUAUUUUAUGUAGACUUUAUUAAAUAGUUUAUUAACAAACCUUAAACCUCUAGUUGUACCCAGUCCAAUAAAAUUCAUUCAAAAAUAGAUUCAAGCAGUAAAGAGUUAGAAUUAAAAAAUAAGGAUUAAAAUAAUAAAACGGAAUAAACAAAGCGACUAGGGUUUUUACUAGGAUAAAAAUAUAUAUAAAUUCUUCAUCUAUAAGCCCUAUUGAAAUUGAUCCCUCAACUUCAUUUUUUUUUUUAAUUUACAAUCGGGUAUUUCACGGGAUCCGGGUUCAGGUCUAGUUUCGGCUCCGGAUUUGGAAACUUUUUUGGACCCUACCUAUUAAAAGGUCGGGUUCAGAUCGGGUCCAUGUUGGAUAUGGUUAUAACGUAUCCAGACCAAUACUCAAAAUUUUAAUGGAUAAUUUUUUUUACUCAUAUACUAUCUAUUUUUUAUCGGAUAAGGUUGAGGUCUGGAUAAGGUUCGGAUCGGAUAUGGGAUAUCAGAUAUUUUGGAUAGUUUUAGUUCUACCUCAGUAUAAAUAUCUGUCUCACUAUAUUCAAAAUUAUUUAUCAAUUUUAAUAUUUUUAUUUUAACUUUUAUACCAUUCUACAUUAACUAUAAAUAAUAACCCGGAAAAAAUAAAAUUUUUUUUAUCAGGGCAUAACAGUCCAAAUGGUUAAAAUUUAGCGGCCAACUUAUAGUUGUACACGUAAGGAUACAUUUGAAUAUUUUAAAGCUUUAGAAGAAUAUAUUUGAUAAUUAAAAAAUUGUAAGCAUAAAGCCGUAAUUUUAAAAUCUUGUAGCCAUAGCCAUACGUAUAAAGUUAUAUAUUAUCCCUAUUAUACACCAACAUUAACACUAUAUUUCUACCGACCGUCCCUAGCGCAAGUGGCAAAGGGCUUGGUGAUUGAUACCCGAGGUUCCAAAUUCGAAUUCUAGUUGAUUCACAUUUCUAGCUAAGUUUAUUUUCAAAUGAAAUAAACGAAGCUCUCAUAUCAUUGAUUAUGGAGGAUAACAUGGUCCAGUUAAAGGUUUUCAAAUCGUAAAUAAACUAAUAUAAUACAUAUAUCGGUAGUAAACGGACUCCGUUGUCACUCAUUUGUUUUCAAUAAUAAAGCUUUCAAAUCGACGAUCGGUAUCGUUGAACAUGAUCUAUCCCUCUAGAAAUCAAAUUUUAAAUCUUUUUGACAUCAUGACCUAACGAUCAAAGAGUUUCAAAAUUUAUAAUUUUAAUAGUAGGGGAUAUGAGGCGUUUUCUCGUUUAACAGUAUAAAGCUAUCCAAAUCAAUUAAAUUUUGGUUAGAAAAUUCUUUAAACUAUUUAGGACAAGACCUAGACUCUUGAUCUUGAUUAUAAAAUUUCUAUCAUCAUUUUUUAGAAUAUAUUUAUUUUCAGUCGUUCAUUUUUACGCCCACUUGAUGGACAAGAAAUUAAACAAUAUCGAAAUAGUAUAAAAUUUGAUUUCUAAAUAUUUCAAGUGGUACAGAUUAUGUUCAAUGGUGUCGAUCGUCGAUUUAGAGGCUCCAUCGUCAAAAACAAAUGGAUGGCAAUAGAGCCCGUUUACUAUCGAUAGCAUUCCAGCUCAACUCUCUCUCUCUCUAUAUAUAUAUGAACAUUAUUGUUGUAUAAAGUUACUAUAUUACGUGCCCAUAAACUUAGCUGGAAAUAUGAAUCAACAAGGAUUCGAACUUGGGACCUCAGGUACCAACCAUCAAGCCUUUGCCACUUGCGCUAGGGACGGCUGGUCUAUUUAGUUUAAUUCUUUAUUAUUUCACAAGAUACAAUAUACAAUUGGUUUAGGAUUACUAAAAAGAGAUUUUCAUACAGUGUAGAUUGUAUAUAUCUAGCUUAAGAAAUUAAUAGGAAGUACACCAAAAAAUUUUUGUAUACGGCAUGCAAAUACUCUUAUAGAGUUGGUAUUUACAUGCCCUCUGCCUUAAAAAAAAAUAAUGCUUUGGUCGUCUACGUGUAUUCCCGACCAUAUAAUAUUUACACAAGAUGUUAUUUUGAUCUUGUUAGCUUUGUUAUAUAUAUAUAUAUAUAUAUAUAUAUAUAUAUAUAUAUAUAUAUAUAAGGUGCAUGUGCGGUUUUUCAUGCCAUGGGUAAGAUAAGCGUUUUACGGUGGCUUGUGCCGAUGGCUCCCCGCGGCAGUCACUUUGCUGGGUGUCUGGACUCUGCGGCGGCAAUGUCUUCCGGCGUUCAUUCACUCAACAAACAGAAUUAGGACUACAUGGGGUAAGACAGCCGAGACCUCGAGAGGGGAAGAGAAAAGCCAAAAAAAAAAAAAAAUCGUAAAUGCUGGGAGGUCUACAGCCUGCGAAUAACUCGAUUAGCUGAUAGAAGAUAUUCCCAAAGUUUCAUCAAUUAAAUGUUUCAGGUUUUGGGCAGCUAGUAGGGGGUCUGGCGGGACAUUUCUAAAGAUCAUUCCGUUUCUUAUCUCCCAACUGACCGACCAACAAACUACUAGAUCCAAGAACCUGUUGCUUGUUGGCUGCGGCCCAUUCCUACCCGUCCACCUGUCCCAGGCUGAGGUAACAUCGUCUGUUUUGUAAUUCCUGUGCAUAAUUGUAAUGUUUGAUGUACUUGACUUAAUUUUAUUUUAUUGCAUGCCUAUGAACUUUUCAUCAAGUUUUAGGAGUUGUUCAUUUGCACGUAGUUACAAUAUAAUUGUACGCAAGCUUCUCAAUUACAUACAGAUAAAUAAAUUUAUUUAUAGUUGCAAUGUUUUUAAAUGCAUCUAACCAAACGAAAUAUAUAUAAUUAUAACUGAUAUAUCUCAAACUGCAUGCAUCUCACCUACACUGUAUUUAUAAUUAUAUCGAACCAAAUGGCUCAUAAUAAUUUUCCUAACAUAAAAUAAUUUUUUUUUCCUAUAUAGAGUGUAAUUUUAUCAUUCCAUAUAUAAAAUCCUAAAAUUUUGUAAAUACAUUUGUCAACCACACAUAACCAAAUAACGUAUUUAUAGUUGCUGCAUUUUUUAUUAUGUUUAACGAAAUAAUAUAUAUAUAUAUAGAGAGAGAGAGAGAGAGAGAGAGAGAGAGAGUUGAGCUAGAAUACUAUCGAUAGCAAACGGCCUCCGUUGCCACCCAUUUGUUUUCGAUGAUAGAGCCUCUAAAUCGACGAUCGGCACCGUUGAAUAUAAUCUAUACCACUCGAAGUAUUUAGAUAUUAAAUUUCAAAUCUUUUCGACAUCAUUUGCCUAAUGAUCAAAGGGUUUCAAAAUUUGUAAUUUUAAUGGUCGAUAUGAGGCAUUUUCUCGUUUAACGGCGUAAAGAUAUCCAAAUCAAUUGAAUUUUUGUUAGAAAAUUCUUUAAACUAUUUAAAACACGAUCUAUACUCUUGAUCUUGAUUACAAGACUCUUAUCAUCAUUUUUUAAUGAAUAUUCAUUUUCAGCCGUUCAUUUUUGUGUCCACACGAUGGAUAAGAGAACAAUAUCGAAAAUGUAUGAAAUUUGAUUUCUACUUCAACUGUUAUAGAUCAUGUUCAACGGUGCCAAUUGUCGAUUUGGAGGUUCCAUCAUCGAAAACAAAUGGGUGACGGAGCCCGUUUGCUAUCGAUAGUAUUCUAGCUCAACUCUAUAUAUAUAUAUAUAUAUAGAGUAGGGCUACUAUACUCUUAUGAGUAUGGGGCCCUUCAUACUCAUAAGUUGUUUUCGAUGAUGGAGCUUACGAAUCGACGAUUCACUUCGUUAAAUAUGAUCUAGAAUAUUUGAAACUUUUAGAAAAUAAAUUUCGUAAUUUUUUAAAAUCAUAAUAAAGUCCAUCAAGUGGGUAUAAAAUGAACGGUCGAAAUCGAACGACGUCCUAAAAGUAGAUGAUCGGAUCUUUCAAUUUAAGAUCGGAGUUAUUGAUCUUUAUCUAGAUAGUGAAUACAAUCUUCUAUCAAAAAUUCAACUGAUUCCGAUUCUUUUACAUCAUUAAACAACCAUGUAUCUUAUACCGACCGUUAAAAAUUGUCAAUUUUGUGACCUUUUGAUCGUAAGGUAGAUGAUAUCAAAAAAUUAUAAAAUUUGAUUUCUAAAAGUUUUAAAUGCUCUAGAUAAUGUUUAACGGUAUGGAUCGUCGAUUCGGAAACUCUAUCAUCGAAAACAACUUAUGAGUACGAGGGCGAUCGUACUUAUAAGAGUAUAGUAGCCGAACUCUCUCUCUCUCUCUCUCUCUCUCUCUCUCUCUUUCUCUCUCUCUCUCUCUCUCUAUAUAUAUAUAAUAUAUGAGUUAUUAAGGAUCUUUUUCACAUAAGUAUCAUCCCCAUGUUGCGCUAUCAUGGUUUUUAGGCCAUUGCAUCUACUUUUAUUACAAAUAGCCCUUGGAUCAAACCUAUUCACCUACACACCUACUCACCAUCAAUCUCAACUUCUACAUCCUCUCCAUCCAAGGGCUCAAAACAACACAAGUAUCACUUGGGUGAUACUUAUAAAAGUAUUCUAAGCCCUUACUCUUAUAUAUAUAUAUAUAUGUAACUAUUGUUGAACUAAGAAUACCGCAUCGCGCGAAAUUGGAUUGUUGAUUAAAACUAACUAAUUUUAUGUGAUAACAUAAAUAAAUGAAACGUUACAGAUGACGCAAAUAUUCCAGAUAAGAUUUGAUCAUUAUCCGGAAGUGCGUGGGCACUGCCCUAAGAUAAUUUGUGCGGUGCGUAAUGUGACCUGUUUCCCGUCUUAUGUGCUGGAUUAACUCAGAGAAUAAAUCCCAAGGACAAACCGGAAUUCUCCUCCUGCGAGCAACUGAUUGUGAGGCGGUUGACCGAAAGAUUCUCCAACACCGUUAGCGGAUAAGGGAAUGUUAAUAAAUGAAAGAUAAAAGAUAUAAUGAUUAGAGACUUACAAUGAUCGAAAAUCUCUUUUACUGCCUGCCUAUCUUAACAAGAAUUGUAAGAAGAAAUGACUCUAAAAAGGAAAACAGAUUUUACGUUUUUUUCUCUACGAGAAAGGAGAAGCGGAAACUCGCCAACGUUAAUGGGAAGAACGGCGAAUCGAAAAAUAUCGCGUUGUUCUUUCUCAUUAAGAAAGAUAAUUAAAAUAAUUUUAAAUAACAUAAAAUAAAUACAGUAGUAAAAUAAAUAGCAAUCAUAAAUACAUAAAUAAUAAAUAAUUAAAGUUCAAAUACAAUAAAUUUCAAACUAAAUUUUGAGUUUUUCAUCAACAAUCCCCCACAAAAAUCAAAGUAUGUUAAAAUUCUGUAAUUAAAAUCAACAUUACUGGUUUGUUUAUACUAUGCAAUGGCGUGAGCGUGCCUUUAGAGACUUAACCUCACAUAGUGCUAAAUAGUUCCCAUCAGAAAGAAUCGGAUCAGUGCAACCAGGUCUUGAACUACGUUCUUUUGCCUUGACUUCAACUACUACACACAUCAGUACAGAAUCUCCGUCGCAGGUCUGUGCGUUUACUGGCCAUGCACAUACCUGAUUGUUUCAUAAGAGUUCUAUGGAUAAGCCCAUUACAUAGCCGCGGCCGCACAUACGGAUCACUCUUAUAAGCGUGGUUUCCCAGGGAUGUGAUGUAAAGUCACAUUCGCGAAAAUUAUCGCUUGGAUCCAUUAAAAGCUUCAGCUCAACUAAUCCACUACACAGAGCAUACUCACAUAGGGAUGGGAUUGUGAGCUAAAAGCUCUAUAUAAAAUUAUGUAAAAUUCUUUGGCAACAUGAAGUUAUUUUUACACAUUGACCUUCUUCAAGGAUCUCCUAUCACAAGGUGGGUCCCAGUGACCCCCGGAAACGCCGCCCGCUUUACCUGGGCAAAACCAUCCCCUCGCAUGCAUCUUCAGAGCUAGCUUCCUGUUAAGCUUUCAUUAAAAUGAUCUGUAAAACUUUUAUUCAGAUCUGAUAUAAAUUUUUAAAACAUAACAAUUAUGAUAAAAUUAAUCAUUUGAUAAUUUUAUAUCUAACUUUAUAUGAUGUUUAGUCUUAAAAUAUAUCAUUUUAGUUUAAAAUCGAGCACUAGGAUCAAAAUGAGCUGAAAAAAAAUGAAACGGAUCAUAACACUUAAAUUUGUCACUUAUAAAGAGUCUUCCUCCACCUAAAUCUCUGAGAUACAUCAAAUUUAAAAUAUGAUAUUCGAUCCUAAUUACACUUAGGUUUGAUUUAUCAACAAUAACAGAUGAUUAAAAUAAUUUUAAAAUUUUAAUUAAUAAUUUUGAAUCAAUCAUUGAUGCAAUCAAAACAAGCUAGCUAUACUCCAGCUAUAUAUACAAUUGUUAGAAGGAUAAAUUAACUCAGAACAGAGAAUGCUGCGCCUGCGCACAGUUUGGAGUCGUACUUGAGGGUUGAGUGGCACUCUCCUGUAGGUGUCAAUCCAUUGAACAAAAUCUUUACCUUCUUUUUUUUUUCGAAUUUAUCUAUAUCUUUAAAAUUAGUUUUAUAUAAAUGCCGAACAGCCGAAAGAAAUAUUUGUACAUGUCUCUCCCUUUUUUUUUUUUCGGAAACUACAUUACUGUAGGCAUUUUUUUGUUCUAACAAUCUAAAGGCGUAUUCCGUUCUUACUGCUGGGUUUAACUGGUAAAUAAAACCCAAGGUCACGACCGGAAUUCUCCUCCCUAACCGAGCACGAUCGUGAAGGGGUUGACAGAAGAUUCUCAACACCAGGGGAUAAGGAAAAUUGUCACGGCCGCGCCGGCGGAUUACACGUUCCCGGAGAACCCGACAAAUCCGCCGUAUACAAAGAAAUUUUCCUGUAUACGAUAGCGACAGCUGUACCUGUAAAUAAGUACACUAUACGAACAUAGUAGAGAGCUGCAGAGAAGACACAGAAGCUAAAUAACAAAGUUUCAUAUACAUAGUUCAGAUCUAAAAUACAGUAGUACUCCGCACUGGCGAUUAAGUCAACUAUGACAAUAAACUCAAACAAAACAUCUACUUACAGUAUGCACCUUCCUAGCUAGCACUGGGUAGGGCUAUAACUCUUUGCAACGCCGCUUGCCUCGAUCCUGAUCACGGACGGCUAGCAAACUGCAGCAGCCGGAACGCUGUAGCUUCUGCACAAAGACAUAGGUAACAACGUGGGCGUCGAGAACUACUGUAAAAAACAAGUAGUCCUCAGUGGGCCGCCCAAAACAACAUCGUCACCCACUAAGUCUGACAGAAUGGGACAAGAAUAGUCGGAAAAGCAUGGAAUACACUCCUAACCGUAUCAUCACUACACUUCCUAGCUCUACAUAACACACUGUAGGACUAUGUCAAAUCUGCCAAUCCACGGGACGUGUAAGCAAUCCCGUCCGGGACUGUGAAAUCAACCCGUUCCACUGCCCGUUGCGACCUAUCAAUCCUUCUAUCCACACUAACUUUGUCCGUGAGAGCAAGUCCCAAGCUAGGCAUGAACGUACACCGAACGCGAAACACAAAGCUGACUCGAGAGUGGCACUUCGUGGGGCAGCUACCCACCGAGUAUGCAAGUAUCUCUUCGAGCUCAAAUCAGGCUCCAACUAGCUAAAGUCAAGUAAUCGUACUUCAAAUGGUCUAACAACAACAGUAAUUGCCCUCGCACAAUCUGACGCUAAAAGGCUGAGACGAGUCCACGUCACUCGACGGCGCCCAACAGUCCGAACGACCUGAACGCCUGUAAAAUUCACGUCGGCAACCAGCACGGUGUAUAAUACAUUUUCUAACUAUCGAGUUAGCUCGUUCGAAGAAAACUACGACAGCACAUUUUCCUAACGCUCUAGAGCUAAAUCAGGUAGUUUAAAACUGGUGACAGGUCCAAAAUAGAGGUUUUCUCAUAAUUCAAUUUCAUCACACUGUAUAAUUUACUUAAUUGUAUUAAAACCAUGCUCCAAAUUCGAUUUCACAAUCUACAUAUAAGUCCUCAUGAAUUGAGCUACACAAUUUACUGAAAUCAAAUUAUAUACAGUGUCGACCAAUAAGAACUUAGGAUAAGCGAUUACGCCACCUCGAAAAGCUAUCCGCCUCGAGGCAAACGAAGGCCAUUCGAACCAGGAGCAACCUUGCUGAGUCAACUAGGGACUCAAGUCCGUGUGACGAGCUAACUGCAAGCUAAACAAUAAGGAUCCUUUAAUUCAGUCCAGAAAUUUCACAAGGCAGCUGGUAGAAACGGGAUUCGACCAGCUAACCUUACCAAAAUCUGGCAAAUAAGACUUCGUGAGAUUCCUCUUCGAAGUCCGAAUCCAACGAACCAGCCUCGUUGGAUCCGACGUUCUAUCGCAGAGAACGAUGCUGAAACACGAACAGUCGACGUCGAAUUUCAAGAAAAGAGCUUACUAACCGAUAGAAAUAGUACACUUUCCCAAAUCCAGAAAAGACGCCGAAUACUCACCGUCGACAACACCGGGCACCGCUGCGACAGAAAAACAGGCGAAAACCUCCGCUCGCCCGGCCUUCUCGCAGCAACACGACGACGGAAGUAUGCCCGAACGGCUCCGCGGCGCGACGUCGGCGACGAAUCCGAGCUCCCUCUUGCCUUCAACCGGAUGGGAGAGUGAGAGAGAUGGAGAAUUGCAGCAAGAAGGCCUCUCUCUCUCUCCCUACACGAAACUACAUAGAGGGGAGUGAAGGGAGAUACAAACGAGGGAGAGAAAAUUACUCAUUUAGCCCUCUACCUACCUUCUUGUACCGGUACACGGGCUCCUGUACCGGUACAAGAGCCAACCCGAGAGCAGCUAAAUCUGUGCGCGUAGCUUGUACCGGUACAGAAAACCCUUGUACCGGUACAGCAAGCAUUCCCCGCGCUGGUUGUACCGGUACAGCAUACUCUUGUACCGGUACAGCAAGCAGGAAAAUCUGCUGUUUGCAGAAUUCUUCGCGAUAAGCUGCCCUCGCGUCGCACGGAGUCCGUUUUACGUCUAUUUGACGCCAACGCGACUCGGGCUUGUCCCGACACUCUCCAGAGCUGUCGACAAGCCUCCAGUCAAACACCAGGGAUCUCACAGAAAUGUUCAAAAAUAAAAGAUAAAAGAAUAAAAUGGAUAGAGAUUAACCAAUGAUCGAAAAUCUUUACUGCCUGCUCUAUCUUAAGCAAGAAGUAAAAGAAAAAGACCUAAAAAGGAAAAGAAGAUUUUACGUUUUUUCUCUUACGAGAAAGAAGCGGAACCCGCCCAACGUAAUGCGGAAGAAACGGAACAGAAAAUAUUCCUUUAGUUUCUUUCUCAUUAAGAAAGAUAAUAAAAUAAUUAAAUAACAUAAAAUAAAUAAAAUAGUAAAUAAAUAGAAUCAUAAAUAAUAAAUAAUAAAUAAUUUAAAGUUCAAAUAAAAUAAAUUCAAACUUAAAAUUUUGAGUUUUUCAUCAACAUAUAUUACAUUCAUAACUGCACAUAUUUCGUAACUAUAUUAUAUUUAUAAUUACAUUCAAUCAAAUGACCCUUAAAACAAGAAGGCAUAUGAUCACAUGUAAAAGUUUUUGGCCAAUAUGCACAUUAUAGUACCUUAAACUUUUCCAUUUACAAACUUUUCCUUUUUUAUAAAUGCAUAUCAUUAAGUAGUUAAUGGGUAAUUAAACAAUUUUACAUAUUUAGAAAGCUAUGUACACAAAAUAAUCCUUUUUUCUUUUUCUUUUUCUCUUUUUUUGAAUUUCCUGGGCCUAUGCAAAGCCAAAAUUAAUCUGAAAAGGCACUUCUCAAAGAAGCCAAAAAAAUUGAAAAGCCGUGAAAAGAGUCGUUAGUGUCGGCAAGCAAGCAAACCAACAUUUACAAGUUUGGUACGAUGGGAACAUCAAUAAUAUCAUAAUUACCCUCUAAAUAUAUCAUAAUAUCAUAAUUACCCCUCUAAAUAUAUAGAUUCUUUCAAAUCUACCCUUAUUUGCAAACUCCGCUAAAUUUCACAUAGGAUUAAAAAUUACUUACUGAUUUUGCCUUUCAUCCUUAAAGGGUAUAGUGAGAAAAAAAAAAUUCAACCCCCUCAACUAUAGGCUAUUUUGAAGAAGUUCCCUAAUUAUUUUUUUUUUCCUGUGUAAAGACCCAUUCAAAUUUUAUUUAUUUCGUUUAAAAUAAAUUCAUUAAUUAAAUUAAAUAUUUUGUUCAAAGUCAAGGCACUCCAUUAGCAACUAAUUACUAAAUUUAGAAUUACACUAUUUUUGCAAGCCUAAUAAAAAUUUUAGUUAUUUCAUCAAAUUUAACAGCUUUAACUAUUUUUAUUUAAAGACAUUAUAGAUUUAAUAGUUAGUUGCUGAUGGAGUGUUUUAGUUUUGAACAACGUAUAUAAUUUAAUUCAUAGAGUUAAUUUAAAUUAAAAAAAAUGAUAAUUGAAUGGGUCUUUUAUACAAGGAAAAAAAUUAGGAAUCUUUUUAAAAAUAGUCUAUAGUUGAGGAAGUUGAAUAUAUAUUUUCUCACUGUAACCUCUAACAACUUUCAAGGAUGAAGGAAAAAAUCGGUAAUUAAUUUUUAAUCUCAUAUAAAUUUAACGGAGUUUGCAAAUAAGGGUAGAUUUGAAAGAAUCUAUAUAUUUAAAGCGUAAUUAUGAUAUUAUUGAUUUUAUGAGGGUAUUUACAAUAUUAUCAAUCUUUUGAACGGCACGGGUUCACCUAAUAUUUUUAUCCUCUAAUUUUUAUUUAUUUUCAUUUUUUAAAAUUUUAUAAAUCAUUUUAAUCAAUUUUUAUAAACUAAUUUAUUUGAUUAAAUAUUAACGUGUCGUUGGUGUAGAAAUGAUGUGACAUCUUAAUUAUUGUCGAUUACUAAUUACAAACCUGCUACAUUCUUUUUAUAUUGACAACAUAUUAAUAUAUAUUUAGUGAACUAAAUAUAUUGUGAGAGUUAAUUGUAAUUAUUCAAAAAGUUUGGGUCAUAAAUUAUAAUAAAUUAAAGUUUGAAAACCAAAGUAUGAAGACCUCAUAGUUUGAGGAUUGAAAGUAUAAUCUUAGCCUUUUUUUCUUUUUUUCUUUUUUUUGUCACACUAACCCUCCUACUAUUUGUAAUUUACUUUGCGACUACUUAGUUGUACAAGAUUUUAAGCAAUGUGAAAACCCACUUGGAAUUAACAGGUCUCCAAAUCAAACUCUCCAAACAAGAGUCAAAGGUCAAGUAGUUUAUUAAGCAAAAUUUGGACCUUGUUGCUUCUACAAGAUUUUAAGCAAUGCACAAGAGCAAAAAAAAUUAAAUAAAUAAAAAAAUAAAGGGCUCCCUAUUUAAUUUAUUGGUUCUGUUAGAAUAAUAAUCCAAACUUAAUUAAAAUAAUAAUUAGAAAUGAGCUUAAAUCUUUUAUUUGAUUAUGAUUAAGAUUUGUAGUUAUUCAAAAUAAAAGUUGCAUUUAUCAUCUGUUAUGACUUGAUAACUACAUAUAGUUGUAAUUGACUUUGGUUUUGCGAUAUUAUAGAAAGUUAAAUUCAACCGAAGAUAAAACUAUGGUAAAUUAAAUAAUAAAAAUAAGGGUUAAUUCAUACAACUCUCUGCAAAUAUAUCGAAUAGCAAAUAUAAUCCUAUAGAGUUUAACUUUUCAUAUUUAUCUCUGUAAAAAUUCAAUGAUAUUCAUAUUUGCGUCUCUAAUUUGUUACCGUUAGAGUACUGUUUAUUUUUCAAUAAAAGAUAAGUGAAAUGAUAUUUUUUGUCAUCACAAAUAUGUUUCUCUAAAAGUUCCCGCCGUUAAAAUUAUGCAGAAAUGUUCUUCGAAAAAUUCUCAACGGUAAUUUUUUUUCUUUCUACCGUCACAAAUAAUAUAGAACGGGUAAAAGGUCAAAUUUAAAAAUAUUAGUAUUUUUGUAGGAAUAAAUAUGGAAGAAUUAAACUUUAUAGAAAUAUAUUUAUAGAGAGCUGUAUACGAUUAACCCUAAAAAUAAACUUAGCUGCAAAUGUGAAUCAACUCGAAUUCGAAAUUGGGACGUGGAAUAUCAAUCGCCAAAUUCUUUACCACUUGCUCUGGAGGCUAUCCAUCUUAUUUAUUUUAUUUAAAAAUAAUUUUAAUUAAAAAUAUGAAUUAAUUAGGAUUCGAAUAAGGGUGUGUUUGGAUCCAUGUAAAAUAAGUCCGAAAACUUUUUUUCAGUUAAAAAAUAGUUUUCCAUUGUUUGGUUCUCUGUAAAAAAAUUUUCUCGGAAAUUUUUUUUUACGAAUAGGCGGAAAAAUCGCGUUUUCAUUUUCCGCUCUGUCCAAGUGGAAAACGAAAAGCUACAGUAAAAAAGUCGGAGCUCUCAGGCCCGGCUCCAUCCUUUUGUGCGCGGUUCACGCGGUGUGCUUCACCUCGUGGACCGAGCAGAGCAGAGCAGUGAACCUAGCUCUCUCUCCCUUUUUAAUUAUAUAUAUUUUUUAUUUUUUUUAUUUUAUUUUUUAUAUAAAUAUAUUAUUAUAUAAUAUUUUAUUUAUAAAUAUAUAAUAAUUAUUUUAUAAUAUUAAAUAUAUAUUAUUAUAUAUUAUAUUACAUAUUUAUUAUAUAAUAUAAUAUUUAUUAUAUAAUAUAUAAUAUAUAUAAAUUAUAAUAAUUAAAUAUAUUAUGAUAAUUAUAAUAUACUAAUAAUAUAUAAUAUAUAUAAUUAGAGAAAAUAUAUAUAAUAAUUAUAAUAUACUAAUAAUAUAUAUAAUAAAAAAUAUAUUAAAUAGUUGUUCAUCUAUUUUUUUUUUCUUUCAAUCAAAUAACUGUCAUGAAAAACUAUUUUUCUUUUUCUAUAAACCAAACACAAACAAUAUAAAAUUUGUUUUCACCAAAAAUUUUAUUUUUAUAAUUUUACGUGGAACCAAACACAUCCUAAGUGAGGCCUGCAAAAUUUUGGUCGUCGUUAGCAGGAAGGGAGCAGCUAAGGAGGGGCCCACGCACCUGCUGGGACGGCCACGUUGCCGAUCCUAAAACCGCGUAAAAUUGUCGGGAAAACGAGUUAGAUACCAAGAUCAAGUCAAAAAAAUGAACAGAGAAAAAAAAGAAACACGUGGCUACUAUGCAAUGAUAAUUGAAACAUUCAAACUUUGUAGGGACUAGAGAAAGAGAGAUAGAUAGAGAGAUUGAGUACUUUUUUUUUUCUUAUUUUAUUUUAAUUGAUUUUUGAAAAGCUAUUGAAAACACCAGUUUUCGGUACGGCCCAGUAUCAGAAAAACUGGCCUAACUCCAUCAAUAAAAUUAUUUUAUUUAGAUUCAUCCGUCUUAUCUUUAUUAAUUAAUAAAAAAAUAUUUUUUUAUUAUUUUUUAAGAAGAGAAAUAUGAUUUGCUUGUUACCGAUAAUGUGAUGUAAGUAGGACACUGCAAACUUCCUCCCGUAUUGGCCGAUUUGAUUCGAUUUGAUUUUUUGUAGUUUUUUUUAAAAAGUUAAAUUAAAUUCGAGUAAAAAAUAUGAAUUGAAGAGAAUUGAUUUAUGUGGCUUUAGCAAAAUAUUUUUUGUGUAAUUUAAACUUUUUAAACUGAUAAAAAUAAUAUAUAAUCAGAAUUAAUUUUAUAUUAAGAAUUAUUAAUUUAAGACAGAUAUUAUUGAUUACAUCUUUAAUUAUUUGAUCGGUAUUUAAAAUUAAUACAUAAAAUUUUUAAAAUUUACGACUAAUAUGUAUUAAAUAACAAAAAUUUCGGUUUAUUUGGUUUAUUUAGUUUUUUUGCUUCUUAUUUUUAGAGCCGAACCGAACCGAUUAUAUGUAAAAAUCGAACUGAAUCAGCCAAUUUUGGCAAAUUCAGUUCCGUAUUAAGUACUAUAAUGCUCACUCCUAGUUUUGGGUAGCAUUAAAGUGUUGAUUUUUGAUGCCCCAACUUUCAAGGAGGUCAUCUUUUCUAGGAUUAUUUUCAUUCUAGUACGUUUAACUCUUUUAACCUUUUUGGCCUAGCCAUCACCCAAAAUGUUUAAAGCGUCUUGUCAUUUCGAUACUGGCUCAGCCGAGAUUCAUCUCACACUUUCGGCUAGUAAUUGACUCUAAUACCAACUGUGACGCCCAAAUUUCUCAGGAGGUCACCCAUCCUAGGACUACUUUCGUCUUAACAUACUGAACUUUCUUAAUCUCUUGGGCCUAACUACAACCUAAAAUGCUUCGGCCGGAUUAAGAAUUUAGCUCUAUUAUAUCUUAUAUAUAGGACUAUAGAGGGUCUCACAUGAUUUUUUUCCCUUUUCUUUUUGAAACUUGAAAGAGGUCAGGGUAUAAAUUUUUUAAAUUAUACGCCACAAGAGAUUUUAUAGAAUUAUGCUACUAUACAAUCGAUAGUAUCAAGCGCUCGGUGUUAUCGAAUUUUUGGCCGUUGGAUGAAAGAAUGUGCAGUUAGGAUGAUAGUAGUCCCUUAGAAUUGAAUGGGUAGUUAGUUGAAUAGUAUAAUCUAAUGGGUGGAAAUGAUUAAAAGAUAGAUCUAACGACAGAAAACUUGAUAGUACCAAGAAUUUAGUACUAUCGAUAUUGAUAGUAUAAUAGCCGAACUCUCUGUCUCUGUCUCUCUCUCUCUAUAUAUAUAUAUAUAUAUAUCUAUUAUUUAGUGAUGUGUUAUUAUCUACCGAAUUGAAUUUUAUUUUUGUGAGCCAAAAUUUUAUUUUUAUAUUUUGCUGCAGAAGAAAUUUUAGAUAUUUUUUGGGUUAAAAUGUAUAGAUGCCCAGUAAACUUUACCCUACUUUGAAAUUACUGUAAAUAUAAUAAUAUAUAAGACAUUGGCUUAAAUUUCUCGAAUUAUCACUUGUUAAAAUCACCAAAAUAAAUCACAAAAAUAUUAUGAUGAAUAUGCACUCAUUGCAAUUCAAUAAUAUAUAAUACAUUUAUAUUAUUCCAUCACCAAUAAUGUGUGACAGCCAAAAACAGCUGCUAUAACAUCUGUUAAUAAAAAAUAACAAAUCACAUAAACUAACCAACAAUAAUUAAUAAUUAAUAAUGUCCCCCCUUUUUAGAAGAGUUAAAAAUUAUUCAAAUUUGAAAAUAGUUAGCAACUAAAUUAAUCAAUAUCCUUUUCCUAGCAAGUACAAUUUCUCUAAAGUAGGAGGGUCAUAUUGAAAAUAUUAAUCCGCUUCUCCAAUUAAUCUUGUGAUCUCACAACUUAAAAGUGAGCCAUGACUUGUUAUCUUCUUCGGGCUUAACCACAUUCGUUUGAUAAGGUGCCUUGGAAUUAAUCCUGAAAAAUAAUAAUAAACCAAUGUUAAAUUUAAAUUCAAAUUUAAAUUUAAAAGUAUGCGAGGAUAAUUUGAUUUGAAUUUAUAGGGUAAAAAAAAUAUUACUCACCUAUGCUUUCUUUUUUGGAGAAAUCUAUGAAGGGAAUUUCUCCGCGCAAUUGGCAUAUCUGUUUGUCACAAAUUAAAAAGAAAAUGUUAGAAUUUUAUUUAUAUAUAAAUAAAAAACUUAAAUUGGAGAUCUGAAUUUGUAUAAUUUGUAGCCUUUAAUUGUUUUGUUGAAAAAUGUAUGCAAUGAUCUAAAUUUGUAUAAUUUGUAGCUCUUAUUUUUCGCGCACUAUGACAUGUUAGGAGAUCUACUCAGUGAGCAAAAAAUUUCUGUAUGCAAAUUACAUACAAAUAUUCAAAAAAUAUAUAUUUUUUAAAAAAUAUAUAUAGCACACCAUAUUAAGCUAAAAAUUUAAUUUGAUGCUAGGAUGUAUAAACUAAAAAAAUAGAUAAAAAUAUAUUAUAUAAUUCGACACUAAAUUUUAAACUAAAAAAAUAAUAAAAAAAAAUUAAAACAAACUUUAUGUGAGAGAGAGAGAGAGAGAGAUUAUAAUUUUACCAGAGGCAGUGGUCUGCAUAGUACUCGGCAAAGUGCUCUGGGCGGCUGCCACGUGUCCUCCUCCGGUUGCGAAACCGAAAUUUUCGGCUGAGACCCUGCCCUUUUUCGCCAUUUCAAUCAACUCCUCGUACUUCUCGCCAGAAAUAUUGUCGAAAACCAACACUUCCCCCCCGUAGAAUAUCGUUAAUUGCUCAUUCGUCCCUUCCCUAAAUAAAGUUUUUUUUUAAAAAGAAAAAUUAAUAAUUAGUUAAGAAAAUUAAAGCAUUAAUUGUUAAAGUUUAAACUUGCAAAGAGCUAGGGAGAGGCAAAAAAUACAUAUAUGGAGACCCCUCAUCUCUAAAUUGAGGAGUUGAGGGGUCUCGAUGCAUUUUCUUUUUUUUUUACGAAAUAUAAAUGGGGUUCCCCCCAAAAAAAUAAAAUAAAAUAAAAAUCUUACUUGUUAACAUUUUGGUCCUUGUAAGAAACGUCGACGGUGUGGGAAGUGAAUUCCGGGAAGUGGACUUCGGUCGAUUCGGGGGCAUUUAAGUCAAUUCCGGGCAUCAGGUUCAUGGUGAUUGGUGGGCGAAAUACACCUAAAAUUAAGAAAAAAACAAAAUAUCAAUAUAACUACACAAAAAAAAAGGGGGAUAUAUCUCAUAAAAUAUAAAUUUGUUUUAAUUUUCAAAACUCUGUAUUAGUUAAUAUAAAUUUGUGAAGGGAAAAAAACCAUAUAUAAUUAUUGUUACCUUCUUUUUGUAAAUAUUUUGGGCUUCAAACGUUAUAUAAUCAUCUUCUAAAGAAUACGUGAAACCAAAAACAACCAAUAAAAGAGAGGAAAAGAAAAAACCUAUAUAAAGAUCAUCAAAUUAAAACCACCAAAAAUUUCUUGGUUGUGUUGGAAAAACAUGAAAAAUUAAGCAAAACAAAGGAAAAAAAAAAGAGAAAACAUAUAUAAAAAAAAAAUAUAUGUAUAUAUUUAUUACCUUUUGGUCCUUGAUCAAGAGCCAUCUCAAAAUCCAACCCCCCAAAGCUUUUUUUCUCCUUCAUGUAUUGGCUCAAGAGGCUACAAGUGAGAGAAAAUUUGGUUGUUUUCUCUCUCCUCUCCUCCAUAACCAUGUUCAUGUUCCUCUCCAUGGCUUUCUCUCUCUCUUCUUCUCUUCAAUUCUCUCUCUCUCUAUGUUUCUCUCUCCUCCUCCUCCUUUCUUUUAUAAUAGUCCCUAUGAGAGAGAGAGAGAAAAUGAAUGGGUUUUUGUGGCACGUGCGUUUUUGGGUUGGACAUUGGGAAUAAAUUAAAAAAAAAAACAACUAAAAUAGUUAAAACCAACACGUGGUCACAUUUUCUUUUUUCUUUUUUUUUUCUUUUUUUAGGUAACACACGUAACAUGUUUGACGAAGUCCACAGCAUACACCGCGUUUUUUGUUAUGCGUGCACAUAUUUUAAUCCAUUGUGGCACAUGUGUCACGAAACGGCCCUUUUAAGCGCACAUUACGCGCACAUAAAAAAUGAACACUAAAGAGACCAAAAAUAGGGAUUCCAAAGCGCCCCGGUUGGCGCAACUUCCGCCCCGAUCCCCCCCGCAUGGGACUAUAAGCGGAAACAAAAAUAAUAAAAAAAUAUAAUCCGUUCCGACUUCGUUUCAAUUCGUAAGUAAAUGAAGCGUGAUGCGGGAGACUCUUUUCUUUCUUCAAUCUAUUUCGAUCCGUCAAAAAUCCACCAAAUAUCUACGUAAGCGAGAACAAAAAAUAAAAUAAAAAUUAGCCAGUCCCGAAUCCGUCCUGCUCCGACAAAAAACAAAGCGGGAGGUGGGAGAACCCUCCCACCUCUGGAUCCGCUUUGUUUGCAUCCCUAACCGAAACGUGGGGCUCCAUGCGGGAUUAGUUGGAAAAAUUGCAUCCCUAAAAGAAAACGUGGGGCUCCAUUUGGAUUAGUUGGAAAAAUUAUUAGGCGUGUUAGAUACGGAUCUAUUCACUUUAUUAAACAUAGCCAAAAAUUUUUAAAUGUGUUUUAUUUUUUUUUUAAGAAGCUUCGAAGAAGCGACCAUUCUUGUUUAGCACAAUUGGGCGGGUUCGACGUGCAUUUAAAAUGAGACAACAUGUACGGGCAUGGUAAGAAAACAAUAAAAAAAAAAAGCUUAUAAGAAAAUGUGGUUUGGAAAAAAAAAGGGGUGGGGCUAAAUUAUAAAACGUUUCUUAUACUUUAGCCCUAGUCUUAAUUAUUUUUCUAUAUUAAAAAUUAUAUUGAUUACCAUCAUGCACUUUCUCAUCAUCUCAAAUGGAUCUAAAAAACUUGAAAAUUUGGUAAAUUAGUAAUAUAAAGUUUUACUAAAAGGAGUUGGCAUAUCUUAUUGUUCCACAUCUUAAUAUAUAUUCAAUUUAAGACUCAGAAAAUAUAUAUAUACAAAAUUUAAAUUAAGGGGAUAUUCUAUUUUGCUAGUAUUAGGCUUAGUUUGGUAUUGAGACAUAUCUAACGCUAUUAGAUAGAAUGGAGUCAAGAAAAAGUACAUAGGGAUAUGUUUCUGCGUUCUCCGAUGGGACCGCAGAAAAUAUAUUGUAACCGACUCAUCGCGAUAUGCGGAACGCAAUAUUAGGUACGGAAACAAACGGGGUAUUUUUCCAAACGUAACGCAAUCUCUCCGCAAUCCCAAACGAAGCCUUAGUCAAGUUGAUAGUUUAUUGAGCAAUUUAUUCAAUUUAUGUGAUUUUAUUGUAUUAAUUACUUAUGAAUAACUUUAUCUGUAAAUUUAUCUUUAUAAAGUUUUAUAGUCGAAUUCAAUAAUUAUUCUAAAUCGCUUGAUUUAUUUAAAAUAAUGAUAAAGUGUAAGAGUGUAACUGAUGCAAAUUUUUAUGCGUGAAAAAAUUGAAACGUGAGCUUAAGUGUAAUUAAGAAAACUUUUUAUAAUUUAGCCUUGAAAAAAAAAUAUGUCUCAAAAUAAAAAAGAUACGACAUUAUUAAAUCGACACCACUUGCAAAAAUCUUACACUCUACCUUUCAAAACCCAUAUUUACUCAUUAAUUUUAUAAACUUUUUCUUUAAUACUAAAAAUCUAAAAAAAAAGAAUUAAGAGGUAUAAAAAUUACAUCCUAUCCUAUGAUAGUGUAAAGAAAUAACAAUUUUUAUGUUGUUAUUAAUUCUUAAAAACACAUGUAAAUCAUGUUCUAUCAAAUUAAGUUUUAGUCAAUUCUAAAUCCUUUGGUUCCCUAAAAUUUUUCUUACAAUGAGUACCAAAAUUAAUUUUACCUUAUCAUAUUAAAAAAUAUCGGUAUUAGAUUAAUAUUUUUGAUAAUAUAUUCUUAAUUGCUUCCUCGAUCUUAAGUUGUUUUCUUACUAUUGAGUGGUAGUACAAGUUGUUUGGACAAAAAUUGGGCCAUAAAAUUUGAGCUUGAAAAAGUGGAACAAGUACUAUUGGGAAUCUUGGACUAAUGCAUACUAAAUACACAUGAGAGUGUUGGACACUGCUUAUUUUAAUUUCCAGUCAAAAUUUCACUCUUUGAGAAUCGAAAGUAUCCUUUUCGAGUUUCAAUUUUUUUUUUCGACCUAAUCCAUCUAAGAAAGUGAUUAACAGCGAAGGUUUGUUUGAAUUGUCAGAUAUGUUAUCCUUUGAUAAUAGCGUGGAACUGAUUAAUUUCCUGCAAAGUGUUCGUAAAAAAUGACUUAGAACGUACCAAACUACUGUUCUCAAUAUCAUGAAUUAUUAUAUAUAUUUGAGUAAAUAAAAAGAUGUAACAAAGAAGAUGUAUAUAUAUGUAUUUAUAUGUAUGCAUUUAUGACAAAAUUUGAAUAGUUUUCACUUUAAUUUUUACCGACUUUCAAAAACCUAUAUUUAACCACCUCAAAAUUUCAAAUUGAUUACACUUAGCUUAACUAUACUUAGUUAAGGUUCCGUCACUCUUCCGUAUUUUUCUUAUAAUUUAUAACCAAAAUACCAUUGAAAAAUUACACAAAUACAUCAAAAAGUACUUUCUUUUCCCUCUUGAAUAAAUAAGAAAAAUCCGGUCAUUUCGCACUCUAUAUUAAUAUCAUAGCCCUCUAAACAUAUUUUUGAAAUUUUGAAUGAAAAAUAUGUAUGUUUCUAAAAUUAUGAACGAAAAGUUAAAAAGCAGAUAUUUACAGAAAUUUUUUCUAAGUAGGGUGUUGAAGUACUUAUGGAUUCAAGAUUUGGAUGGAGGGGCUUCAAGUACAAUUGUAAGGAACGAGUUUUCGAUUAUUUCUUAAAUUAACAAGGCCUAACUUAAAUUUGGCUAAAAGCCUAGUUCAUAAAGCUUAAUAAAAGUUGAAGAUUCAUUAAUACAUGAUAUAUAUAUAGAGUUGAGCUAGAAUACUCUCGAUAGUAAACGAGCCGUUUUACUAUUGAGUUGUUUUCGAUAAUAGAGCUUCCAAAUUGACGAUCGGCUCCGUUGAACAUGAUCUAUACCACUUGAAGUGUUUAGAAAUCAAAUUUCAAAUCUUUUUGACAUCAUUUGCCUAAUGAUCAAAGGGUUUCAAAAUUUGUAAUUUUAAUGGUGGAUAAGGGACGUUUUCUCGUUUAACGGUGUAAAGAUAUCCAAAUCAAUUGAAUUUUUGUUAGAAAAUUCUUUAAAGUAUUUAAAACAAGAUCUAUACUCUUGAUCUUGAUUACAAGACUCCUAUCAUCAUUUUUUAAAGAAUAUUUAUUUUCAGCCAUUCAUUUUUCUGUUCACUAGAUAGAUAAAAAAUAAUAUCGAAAGUGCGUGAAAUUUGAUUUCUAGGUAGUUCAAAUGGUUUAGAUCAUAUUUAACGGAGCCGAUCGUCAAUUUGGAAGCUCUAUCAUCGAAAACAACACGAUAGUAAAACAGCUCGUUUACUAUCGAGAGUAUUCUAGCUCAACUCUCUCUCUCUCUCUCUCUCUCUCUCUCUCUCUCUCUCUCUCUCUAUAUAUAUAUAUAUAUAUAUAUAUAUAUAUAUAGAAUAUAUAUAUAGUUCCGGCUAUGUGCUUGAUAAAGCACAAAGCACUUGUUGGUGGUUUUGUAAUUUUUUACCGUUAGAUUUACACCUUUAUCAAUUUUCACCAUUAGAUUAUACUAUUCAACCAACACCCACUACAACCCUAGGGGCCCACAUCUCCUAACUGCACAUCUUUAAUCCAAGCAGCCGAAAAAAUUACAAGCACCAAUGAUUUGGUACUUUUAAAAGCAUAGGAGCUCAAUUUAUAUAAUAUAUUAUAUAUAUAUAUAUAUAUAUAUUAUAUAUAUAUAUAGUGAUGCUACUAUGCUAUCGGAAGCACGAGCCUUCCGUGCUUCCAGCUCGUUUUCGAUGUGCGGACUUAGAAUAUCGAUCGGCUCCCGUUAAACUUGAUCUAGAGUAUUUGAAGUACCUAGAAAAUAAAUUUUAUGAUUUUACGAUAUCAUUUGCCUAGUGAACGAAGGGGCUCAAAAUCAACGGCUGAAAAUAAAAAUCUUACAAAAUGUAAUAAUAUGACAUUAAAAUUUUAAAUCAAAGAUAUUGAUCUUGUUUUAUAUAGUAUAAAGAAUUUUCUAUCAAAAUUUCACGUGAUUUGGAUAUUUCUACACCGUUAAACUUGCAAACGGCUCACUACGGCCAUUGAAAUUUGUUAAUUUUGAGCCCAUUCGAUCACUAGGUAAAUGAUAUUGAAAAAUAAUAAAAUUUAUUUUCUAGGUACUCCAAAUACUCUAGAUCAAGUUUAACGGAGCCGAUCGACGAUUCCAAAGUCGCAACAUCAAAAACGAGCUGGAAGCACGGAAGGCUCCGUGCUUCCGAUAGCAUAGUAGCCUCACUCUAUAUAUAUAUAUAUAUAUAUAGAAUUAUGCUACUAUACUAUCAAUAGUACCAAGUUUUUGGUACUAUUGAGUUUUUGGCCGUUGGGUGAAUAGAUGUGCGGUUAGGAUGAUAGUGGUCCCCGGUUAAAUUGAUAGUGGUCCCCUAGGGUUGAGUGGGUGGUUGGUUUAAUAGUAUAAUCUAACGGGUGGAAAUGAUCAAAGGGUAGAUUUAACGGUAGAAAACUCAAUAGUACCAAGGGCUUGGUACUAUCGAUAGUAUAGUAGCCGGACUCUAUAUAUAUAUAUAUAUAUAUAUAUAUAUAUAGUAGGACUACUGUGCUAUUAGGAGCACAGCAAGCCUUGUGCUCCUAAGUUCCUAACCGUCUAUCAAUUUUUAUGGGUGGUUAGGGUGAGAGAGAAAAAAAAAAUUGAAGAGAAAUUCAAAGAGAAGAGAAAUUGAGAAACCCAAUUUCUCUUCAAUUUCUCUUCUCUCUUUCAUCCUAACCACCCAUCAAAUUUGAUGGACGAUUAAGAACUUAGAAGCCAAGAGUUGCCGUGCUCCUAAUAGCAGAGUAGCCCUACUCUAUAUAUAUAUAUAUAUAUAUAUAUAUAUAUAAAAUCAUCCCUUUAACCUAACCCUUUUUUUUUUCUCAAAAAAAAAACCUAAUCCUAAUGCUUAUGCUAGUUAUUGCGAGUAUAAAUAUUACUCUUAAUUUCUUUUCCCAUCAAUCCAAAGCACCAAAAAAGAGCCAAGAGUAAUUAGUAAUUUUUUUUUUUUAAGACGUUUGUAUGGGAUUUAGCAUUUUAGAAUUUAUGUAAAUCUUUUAUAAUAAUAUAGUUUCUAGGAUUCAGAUUUUAGUACUCUACAUGAAGUAAAGGCCAAAUUGAGUACAUCAAUGAAGUUUUUUUUUCUAAAAAAAGAAAGAAAGAAAAAAAAGCACAUGCAGUGUACAGUAAAGUACAAUCCUAUAACAGUUUUUCUCCGUAUGAGCCCGCGUGGUUCAACCUAAGAUCGUGAACUAAUUUUUCGUGGAAAAAAAAUUUUGGGUGAAAGUUUUUUUUUUAUAUUUUAAGUAUCUGAUUUGUAGAAAAAAAUAAUUUUUUAUUAAUAUUUAUUCGAUUAAAAAAAAAUAUUUACAUUUAUUUGGUUCGGUGAGAAAGAAUAAAGAAAAAAAAUUUACGCAGCUUGAGUUUUACUUUUUCGUCGAAAAACAGCAAAAAAAAUAAAAAAUUAAUUUUUUUUUCAAACCCGUAUAAAAAUUUUUAUAAAAUAAUAUUUUUAUAAAAAUUUUUAUAAAAUAAUAUUUUAUUUUAUAAAAUAAAAUAUUUUAUAAAAUAAUAUUUUUAUAUAUCAAAUCAAACAAACAAAAAAAUAUUUUUUUAUAUGAAAAAUAAUUUUUCGAUUGGUUUUACGCCGGAAUCAAAUGCUCCUUAGCAUUUCACCAGACACAAUUAGAUUGUAUCAAGUACUGAUAUUUAAAAACUACUGCUUUUACGGAUUAUUGAUGAUUUAGCGGAUUAAUUUAUUUUAAUUUUUAAACUUUUAAAUAUGGAAUUCAACAAAUUUAAGUAAAGUUUAGGGACUAGUAGACAAGUAGUGCAAUUUCCCCCCAAAAAAUGUUUAGAUCCGAAAUUUUUGCCAAUGUUGAGAUGCGUGUGAUCAACAGUGAAAAUAGAUCGGACAUUAUCCAAAAUUAUUCGUAUAUAUCUGUACCAAUUAUUAUCCGGAUCUGGAUAGAAAAUAUUCGGAUUCGGCCGGAUACGGAUAUGAUUUUUUUUGAGAAAUACGGAUAUGAUUUUAGAGGGGCAAAAAUUCUCGGAUAUCCGACAAAACUGAUACGGAUAUGAUUUCAGAUGGGCAAAAAUUCUCGGAUAUCCGACAAAACUGAAUCCAGAUUUAGAUAUCUGGACUUUUAGUAAUACUAAUAUGCUAAUAUAUUAAUAUUAGUAUUAUUUUUACAUUAAUAUCAUUACCCAAUUCUGAGUCGUUCUCUCGUGCCCGAACCGAAUUCCUCCUUGUCCAAUCUGUAAAAUCGAAGGGCACGCUAAUCCGUUUUAGCGGAUAUGGUAAUAAAAAUUUAACAUCCGACGCAUAGCCAUAUCCAAAAAAAUAUAUGAAUGCAGAUAUGAUUUUGUCGAACAUCCGACUAUAUCCGAUCCGUUUUCACCACCAGUGAUCAUGAUAUUUAAACUCCCUACAAAACAAAUAAAAAAAAGGCACCAAAUAAUCGGAUAUCAAUUAAUCCUCACAAAAUAAGUAAUCUAAGAAUUUUUUUUUAUAUUUUUUGAGUGAUAUAAUUUAGAAAAAUACUGCCGGUAAAAAAUGCCUGUUGUACUCCAAAAUUAAAAAGAUAGAGUCAGAAUUUAUAUUUUAUUUAAUUUUAUUUUUAAUAUUUUUUUAAGAAAUUAUAGUAGAAUAUUUUUUGAAAAUUAAUAAUUUUGGUCAAUCAAGAAUAUGUUACAUAUUUUAAAAUUUUAGAGAGUAUAUUAGAUAUUACUCUUUUAAUUUUAUAUAAUAUUAAAUAGAGUAGCAGAACAUAAUUGAAUAUGACGUAACGAUAAUUUCAUACUGUUCCGUAUAAAGAGGGAUGGCCCUUCAAAUUUAUUUCUAUAAAAAUUCAAUUAUCAGAUUUGUUCAUCUAAAAAAGAAAAUUCCACCAUACGUAAAAAUGCUUCUCUAAUUUGUUGUGUGAAAUGACAAUUUUGUUAUUACAAAUUUAUCGAUGCAAAAAAUCAUUUCUUGUCCUCUGUCAUCUUCAUGCUCGAUCGAGCUCUUCUUCUUUUCUCUUCAAAAAUUCAUGAAUUCACGCCUCUUCUCCUUCUCCUCAAUCUUCUCCAUCCUUCGAAGAGUACCAGACCUGGACCGCUCGACGCAUCUAAUGAUCACCUUCCCCGCUGAUCUGCGGCGCACAUCGGCAAAAAAAGGGAAAAGAGAAAGAUGAGGGGGCUCAACUUUGUAAUAAAAAUUAAAUUUAUAAGGGUAUAAAUUUGUUUCACUUCUAUACUAAUUAUGGUUAAAAUACUUGUAAAAGUAUCAUGGGGAUGAUACUUUGUGUGUUUUUAGCCCUUGGAUGGAGAGAUGUGAGGUUGAGAUGAUGGUGGUAGGUGGUGGUAGGUGGUGGUAGGUGGAAUAGUGUUUAAUCCAAGGGCUAUUAAUAAUGAAAAAGUAGAUCCAAUGGCUUAAAACCUAAUAGCACAGCUCAACUCUAUAUAUAUAUAUAUAUAUAUAUAUAUAUGGCUACUAUACUGUUAAGAGCACAGUAGCCCUUGUGUUCUUAAUCUUAGCCCUUAUGUUCUUAACUUUCUAAUCAUCCAUCAAUUUUGAUGAAUGAUUAGGGUGAGAAAAAGAAAAAAAAAUUGGAGGCUCAAUUUCUCUUUUUCUUGAAUUUCUCACCAAUUUUUCUUCUCUCUAUCAUCCUAACCAUCUAUUAAAAUUAAUGAAUGGUUAGGAGUUUAGGAGCACAAGAGUUGCUGUGCUCUUAAUAGCACGGUAGCCCUACUCUCUCUCUCUCUCUCUAUAUAUAAAGUCCGGCUGAGAUAUUAUCGAUAGUAUAAAGUAUUUGGUACUAUCAAGUUUUCUACCGUUAGAUUUAUCUCUUUUAUCAUUUCAUCCGUUCGAUUAUACUAUUCAACCAACCACCCAUUCAACCCUCGGGGGCUCACAUCAUCCUAACCACACAUCGUUUAAUCCAAGGGUAGAAAACUUAAUAGCACCAAGUCAUGAAUGCUAUUAAUAGUAUUCCAGCCUAGUUUUAUAGAUAUGAGUGUAGUUACUAUACUCUUAUGAGUAUAAUAAUCUUGGUACUCAUAAGCUUAAUUUGCGAAUUAUUGAAAAUCCAAAUAAAAUGGUCAAUAUACGAUUUAUUUUCAAAAAAUUAAAAUAAUAUGCGAAUUUUUUGGGUUAAAUUUAUUAUUCGCGAAUAAUUUGUGUAUGCCGAACUAUUCGGCCAAAAAAACGCCCAAAUUUUUUGGAUAAAAUUUCUUUUUGAAUUAUUGUCGAAGUAUUGCCGAAUUAUUCACGAAUUUUUGAAAAACUUAAUGAACUUCCAAAAUAUGUGGAUCAUAAAAAAAUGUAGAUAGAGACGACAAUAAAAUUUGCUAUCACUUUUUUUUUACUUAAUCUAUUUUAUUUUGUAGCUCUCUUUUUUUAUAUUUUUAAGAAUUUAUAACUAUAUACGCUAGUAGUAUAAAUCUAGAGAAAAAAAAGCUUAAUUUAAUAGCCGAAUUUUUUAUCCCAAAUUAUUAAUUGGGGGACGUAUAAUAUUCGUACAAUCGCGUAUCCGAAUAAUUAGCAAAUCUAUUUUUUAAGCCGCAUUUUUCAACAAAUUUAAAAAUCGAGAUACGAAUGUUAUUCGAAUUACAUCCGUAUCGAAUUUUUGCCGAAUCUGAAUUACCUAACUAUGUUCCUAAGUUUAUGACGGUUGGAUCCACAUCAGGAUGUAGAUCAAUUGAUGUGAUGAGAUAGAUCAAAAAAUGAUAACAGAAGACCCUCUGAGAUUGGACCUCCCCUCUCUCUGAGGAGGAAUUCUACACUGUCACACUUUGCACCACGGCAUCAAUAAAAAGCCAAUCAUAUUUCUUCUUUCAAACAAAAGUACAAUAAAAAUAUUUUUUUAUAAUCAUGAUGGAACAUAUACUUAUAAAAGGAGAUAUUUGAUUGGUUUGUAAUGCCACGUCAUUAAUAUACCCGUUGCAUUCUAGAAUUUUUCGUCUCCGAGCGAGGGCGGGUCCUCCUCGUCCUUGUUGCCGACCCACCCCAAAAACUUGGUGGUCCUCGUCCCACACCGAAAACGCCAUCUUCCUCCCACCACAUCGCCCCGGGCCCACACACACACACCCCCUCCGACCCCUCUCGCCCCUGAUCGACCUGGUGCGCACCUAAAGAAAGAGGAUCGAAGAUCAAAAAUUUCCGAGCAUGAGAAUAGCCCCCCGCAUCUAAUCAAGAAUUGAUUUCGGGUGGGUUGGAAAGAAGGACAAGGAGGACAGAUAGGCCUCGGGUUGCGUAAGGAGCGGGCCGGGACUCUUUUUUUUGGUCGAUUUCAUCAUAUCAAUAUCCACAUCUUGAUGCAGAUCCAACCGCUAUAAAUUUAUGAGUACGAAAACUAUUAUUAUGCUCAUAAGAAUAAAUAAAUAAAUAAAUAAAUAAAUAUAUAAAUAUAUAUAUAUAUAUAUAUAUAUAUAUAUAUAUAAUUUUUNNNNNNNNNNNNNNNNNGUUACUACGCCGAAGGUUUAGCUGCUAACCGAGGCAAUCUGAACUAGAUGUGAUAACUUUCAUAAACCUUUGAUUUAAAGUCUAAAAAAGUUGUAGUAAACUGAUCACUAGUUUUCUAGAGUUUUAACUGUUAAAAUUAUUGGCUACACCACACAAUUGCCACAUUUUAUUAGGUUUACGCUACUUUUAAAAUAUCUUUUAAGAAAAGUGAUAAAUCUCAUUCUAGUCAUAUAGAUUAGAACUUAAAUUUAGAAAAUAGUAGUCAAAAAUAUUCUAAAAAUAAAAGUCGGCAAAUUAAAAUCUGAUGAAUCAAAAUGAUAUAUCUAACAGUAAAAAACUUGAUAGUAUCAAGUGUUUGAUGCUAUCAAUAGCAUUGUAGCCGGACUCUCUCUCUAUAUAUAUAGUCCGGCUACUAUACUAUCGAUAGUAGCUAACUCUUGGUGCUAUUAAAAUUUUUACCAUUAAAUCUACUCUUUGAUUAUUUUCAUCCAUUAAAUUAAUUAUAUAUAACUAACGUGGUGGUGUGACUGCGACUUUCUUCUAAAGUGGGUGGAAGCGUGAAGGAAGGAGAUGACGCGCGGCGGACGCAGAAGCGGAAGCGGGCGGGACACUUUCUUUUUUUUUUUUUCUUUUUUUUCUCCCACGAGAUUUCGCUGUCGUUGCUUUUCGGAGCGGAUUCCAACAAUUCCAGUCCGGACUCCGGAGCCGUCUCUUUCCCCCCUCCCCCGACUUUCGCGGCCUCAUGAUUCGAAUCUAAUCUUCUCCUCCUAAUUAAUUAAUUAAUUAAUUAAUAAAUAAUCGGAAGAGUCUCCCCACGCGCACCCGACACAGCACGGGGGUGGGCACCGCCGCUGCGGAAAAAAAACAAAAGAAAAAGAAAAACUUCAAAAACCUGCUGUGGCUUCGUAAUUUCUUAUUUUUCUCUCCUGUAUUUUAAAAUAUAUCAGUUUGUCUUCCUAUGAUUUUAUUUUUCUCUUUUUUUUACCAAUUUUAUUAUUUUUUUCUUAAAUCAGUGAUAAAGUUAAAAUUAAAGGAUACUAAAAUAAAUAUUUGAUAAAUCUAGAUAGGUAUCUGAAGUUUUUUGUAUAUAAUUUAAUAAAAUAUUAACAAAAAAGCUACCCAAAAGAUAAAAACAAAAUCACAGGGGGGCAAAAUAAGAAACUUCGAAACUACGGGAGGGUUUUUGAAGUUUUUCUGAAAAAAAAAAAAGUAAAAAAAAGAGAGAAAAACGUAUCCGCACGUGCGAAUCUCUCGUUGCGUCGAACAUCCCGUGUUUGAAAUUCAAACAGUGGAAAAGACAAAAAGAAAAAAAAGAACAUAAUCACGAUUCUCGCGCCUCAAGUGACAGUCAGUCUUCCACAAGGGAAGCCGACGUCAAGUUGAUCUGCAACUUGGAUUGAAGGAAAAACCAACCACAUAAUUUUUUGUAAUUUUAUUGUCUAAGUUACCAACAAAUUUUUAAAAAAAAUUAGAGUGGCGUUAUGCUCCGUAUAUUUUUUAAAUUAUUUUUUGGCUUAUUUUUCUCUAUCUUUUUUUUUUAUUUCCAAUAUUUCAGAAACGUAUCUUACCAUUUUUGUAACUAAAUUUAUUUUUUUCUAAUAAAUAAGACGAAUAAUGUGCCAUAUUUUUUUUAAAAAAAGAUAUUAGGUAUAAGUUGUAUGCACAGAUUAUUCCGACGCUUAUUAGAUUCUCAAAAUUUUAGAAUUAUUUUUGACGAACUGCUAAUAAGCGGGAGCAUUGCUCUGUAGGCACGAAAGUUGGAAAAAAAAAAAAAAAGUGGUGAUAGAAUGCCGAAUAUUCCUUGUAUCAAUAGUCCUCAGAACUUUUACCUAGUUUUUUUUUAUUUUUAAACUUUUAAUUUUGAAGUUAGAACCCCUGAAUUCUUAAAAGAGUUUAAUUUUAGUUCCUAUGCAUAUUUACUAUUUAAGGAUAAACUAUUGCCUACAUUUGCCUAUUCAUGUAUUAUAUGUGUAUUGAUUUUUCUCGCAUUACAUAAUUCACUCUUACUAUGCCUGAAUUUUUAAAAAACAUAUAUUUUCUCAAUUUAGAAGUUAGACCAUUAGAUUAGAGAUAUCAAUUGAAUAAAGGAUAGGCGGAAUUUAGGAUGAACAAACAUAAGAUGAAUUAGGUACAAGCGAUAAUUUGUACUCCAAAGUAAAAGAAUUAUAAUAAAACAUUGUUGAAAAGUUUAGGUAUUAAAAUUAAGCUUUAUUUAAAGUUUAGGGACUUGAACAUCUACAUGAGAAAGUUUGAGCAUCAAAACGAAAUUACACUUGAAGUUUAGGGACCAGGGACCUGCAGUGAAAUUUUAUGCACUUAUUUUAAGAAUGUUGGAUGUGCUUGGAAACACUCAACAGCCUUCAGCAAUAUUUUUUGAAGGAUCAGCAGCAUUUCUCUGGCUUAUUUGCUUCAUUUAUAUUAAAUUAUAUUAUAGAAUCGAAAUGAGAUUCAUUGAUUUCGAUAGUUGUUGUUUGUUUUAUAGAAAUCAAUUUUUCGAUACUCAUUCCACUCUGGAAUGGAACCCAGUUCAGUUUUGAAUUCGUGAUUCCCCCCUCCUUUCAUCACUCUUCUCCUUGUUACUAGAACUCUCUCGCAAAAUCCUAAACAUUCAUUCCAAUUUCUAUUUUGAUAAUAAAUGGAAUAUUUCUUGAUAAUUCAUCAUUUUAUUUUUCUCAUUCCCAUAAAAUCCAAUUUUAUUUUCUAUUUCUAUUCCAAUUAGGAACCAAACACGCCCCAUAAAUAUAUUAUGCGAUAAUGGUAUGGACCAUGUUAUGCCCACUUGCGAGUAGGGGUGGAAACGAGCCAAGCUCGAGCGAGCUUACCUUGGCUCAAAUUCGGCUUGAAAUUAAUUUCAAGCCUAAAUUUAAGCUCAAACUUGGAUUGAAAUUAAUUCGAGCCGAGCUCGAGAGAGCCUAAUUGCAAGUCGAGCGAGCUCGAGCCCUAAACGAGCCGCUUGAAAUUCUCAACAUUUUACGAUCAAUAGUUUAAUUUGUAUAGAACAUUAUCUAUAAUUUGAUACAAAAAUAUGUCUAAUAAUUCAAAGUACAAAAUAAUUAUAUGAAAUAUAGUAUUAUUAUAUGAAAAAAAAUAAUUUAUGAGUUGAAUAUCUAAUUAUAUUAUAUAAAAUUAAUAUAUAUCCGACUCACUUAUUAGACUCAAAUCAAUUUUAACCGGGUUACAACAACCGGGUAUUUUUGUUUAGGUUAUCUGUUUAUUUUCUCGUUUUAAAAUGAUUUAAAUAUAUUAAAAGGAAAAAAAGAAAAAAAAUGUCUCGAGAUUUAAAAGUUAUACAAAGAGAGAGAGAAAAAGAUAGAGAGUGGGAUUCACCGGUUCGGCCUUCGGGAGAUUCAAUGGUUCAUUGUAGUAUAUGGGCGGCAACGGAUAGAAAUUAACAUACAAACUCUUUUAUAUGUCUUAUAAAAAUUUCAUUUUUUAAUAAUAAGUAUAUUUUAAAAUUAAAAUCAAUAUAUACUAGCCUAUCAAAUUAGGUUAUAAAUAGAUAUAUUAAAUAAAUAAAAACUGACGCAUUUACUUUUACUUAUUAUAUCUCUAACUUCCGCCUUCUUUUCUGUACACUCUGACUUUUUNAAAAAGAAAGGGUAAAAUGUAUGGAUGGUCCUCCUACUAUAAACGUAUGGCAACUAGGUCCAUGCAGUUUCAAUUUAAAUAUUUAAUUUAUGAAUUUUCACAUACAUUACACCUUUAGUCCUAACUGAAAAAUAAAAAAAAAAUUUAUGGUGAAAUAAUAUUUAAUCAAACUUACUAAAAUGUUCACACAAAAAAUAUAAGGAUAAAAUCAUAAUAUAAAGAUAGUCCAUUCAUAUUACCCUAAAAAUAUUAAAAGCUAAAUAAAGUUUCUGUUAAAAAAAAUUAAAAGGUUAAUAAAAACUUCGAGUAUUUAUUUAAAAAUGGUCUAUAGUUGCAUAGCUUUAGUGUGUAUAUAUAUAUAUAUAUAUAGAGUAGGGCUACUGUGUUAUUAGGAGCACAGCAGCCCUUGUGCUCCUAUGUUAUUAACCGCCCAUCAAAUUUGAUGAGUGGUUAGGAAGAAUGGGAGAAGAAAAAUUGGAGAGAAAUUCAAAGAGAAGAGAAAUUGAGAAUCCCAAUUUCUCUCCAAUUACUCUUCUCCCUUUCACUCUAACUACCCAUCAAAUUUGAUAGGUGGUUAAGAAUUUAGGAGCACAAGGACUACUGUGCUUUUAUAUAUAUAUAUAUAUAUAUAUAUAUAUAUAUAUAUAUNCCCGUACUUUCGAAAGUACGGGAGGCCCCGUGCUUGUAAGUUGUUUUCGAUGAUAGGACGUUCGAUUCGACGAUCGGCUCUGUUAGGUAUGAUCUACUAUAUUGGAACUAUCUAGAAACCAACUUUUAGAUUUUUUUGACAUCAUUUACUAAGCGAUCAAAAGGUCUAAAAAAUGACUAUUUUAACGGUCGAUGUGGCACAUUUUUAAGUUCAACGGUGUAGAAGCAUUCAAAUUAGAUGAAAAUUUAAUAGAAAAUUUUACUUAACAUCAAUAGCAAGGCCAAUACUUCCGAUUUGAAAUUUGAGUCCUUUAUCAUUGUUUUUUAUGAGAUUUUCAUUUUCAGCCGUUCAUUUUGAGGCUACUCGUUUACUACACAAACGAAGUCAAAAAAUUAUGAAAUUUGGUUUCUAGGUAGUUCUAAUAGAGUAGAUCAUGUCUAACGGAACCGAUCGCCGAAUCGGAUGUCCCAUUAUUGAAAACAACUUACAAGUACGGAGGCUUCCGUACUUUCGAAAGCAUAGGAGCCUAGCUCUCUCUCUUUCUCUCUCUCUCUCUCUCUCUCUCUCUCUCUCUCUCUCGCUCUCGCUCUAAAUAUAUAUAUAUAUAUAGUGUAGAACUACUAUGCUAUCGAAAAUAUAGAGGAUUUGAUGUUUUUGAAUUUUUGACCCUUUGAUUAAAAAUUGUAUGGUUGGGAUGAUUGCGGUCUCCCCUAGGAUUAAAUAAUACUUUUAGAAUUGAGUGGUCCCUACAAGGUAAUAAUAAUAUUAAUCCAAAGAUAAGAAACGAUUAAAAGGAUUGAUCUAAGAAUCAAAAAAUUGAAAGUAUCAGAUCUCUAUACUUUCGAUAGCAUAGUAGCUCUACUAUAUAUAUAUUUAUUCGAGUUUUUCGAGUUUUUCGAGCCUAAUUCGAACGAGCCGAGUAAUACUCAAGCUCGGCUUGAAAUGAAUUUUGAGCCUUUUUUUGUUCAAGCUCGGCUCAUUUAAUUUCGAGUCGAGUUCGAGUGAGCCAAAUAUCGAGUCAAACGUGAGUCGAACGCGAGCCGGCUUGCUCAUUUGCCAGCCCUACUUGCGAGCCGUGUAGUUGUCGGCCAUGGCGCCAUACGCUGUCAUCAGGCGCUGUACUGGGCCAAAAAUGGCUCGGUCGAACAUGGCCUACUUGACCGGGCCAUCCUCGCACGGCACGGAUUGCGACAGUAUCCUUGCCGAGUCAGGCCGGAUGGCCCACGAAUAGGGCUGAGCAUUAUUCUGUUUAAACUGAAUUACAAAACCAUAUUAGAUUAUAUUUUCCAAAUUAGGGAUUUUAAUAUAAAAUUAAUCACACCUAUAUCCUAUUUUUAGUAGGUUGAGAAGCCUAAACUCAACAAAACUAUUAGGGUGCGUUUGGUUCGAGUUAUCCUGCCAGGAUUAUAGGCAAUCCUGUCAGAAUAACUGUGUUUGAUUAAUCCGCUAUGUAAUCUAGUCAUUAAUGUAGCAUUACAAAUCGAGCAGGAUUACAUCGAAAAUAUUAAUAGGAGGGGGUCGUGUAUCUUGCAUUACUAAAAUCCGUUAAUGCUACAUAUUAUGUAAAAUGAUUAUUUUACCCUCCAACAACCCUAAUCUAAUUAACAGUAUUAUUUUCAUCUCUCUCGCCUUCCCCCCUCUCUCUCGCACGCCGCUUUCUCUUGCUCUCUCUCUCUCUCUCUCGACGUCUCUCUCUCUCUCUCUCUCUCUCUCUCUCUCGCACAAACACGUAUCAUCUUCUAUUGUGUCGUCCUCUCAGGUAAUCAUCACGAUCUCCUUCCCUCCAUUCGUCAUUUUUGCAAAAAAUAAUAUUCAAAUGACCACAACAAGGACAAUUUUGAAAAAAAACUAUACUUUUAUGUCAGGAUUACUAAAUUCUAUAGACUGAACCAAACGUAUUAAUGCUAUAAACACUGUAAUCUAGUAUUACAUUACUGCAUUAAACCAAAUACGCUAAUGUAGCAUCAUUAGUAAUCUCACGCCGAAAUCCAAGAUACCUGGAUAUGUCGAGAUACUUUAUAAUAUUACAUAACUCGAACCAAACGGGCUCUUAAGAGCAUGUUUGACUUAUGAUUGGGAUCUGAAUGAGAAAUGAAAUUAAAUUGCAUUGGAACGAAAAAUGAAAUGGCAAAUCAUUCAAAAAUAUUUGAAAUCAGACUAGACAUUUAGAACUUUGUGAGAGGAUUUUGGUUAAGAAAGAGAAGCGCGAGGAAGAGAGAGAGAGAGGAUGGGAAGGUGUUGUUGCAAGAGUACUCUGAAUGAUUUAUUUUGGAAUAGGCUAAUUUAAGAUUCGAAGCCGGAUUGGACCAUAAAAAGAUCGGGUCAUUUUCAUUUCAGAGUGAAAUGAGAAUUAAAAUUCGAUUUCCCGUAAAACAAACAAUAAUUAUCAAAAUCAAUAAAUCUUGUUCUGAUUUCACAGUCAAAAAUAGCUGAAGCAAACCAGCCCUAAUAUUAAAACCAAAUAACCAAAUCGAACGAUCCGAAGUACUUCAGUUCAAUUUGUAUAAUUCAGUUCGAUUUAGUUUUUUAGGAAAAGAUAAAUUACUGAACCGAACCAACCGAUGCGAACCCCUACCGAGAAACCAACCAAAACCCAUACAUUACACCCUUCUAUGUGCUAAGUUUCUCAACAUCUCGAAUAAAAUUAGAACUGUGAUUAUAAUCAUCAAAACUUAUUAGGCAUCUAUGACAGCUUAGGAUAUUAAUUAGCAUAGUGGCACCACAUCAGCAACUUACACCAACUAUAACAAUGAAUUGGAAAUUGAAGCAGUUUCUACAGGAAAAACAGUUAGUAGGAGUACUAAAAGAAUAGCUGAAGCUAACUAUCUACCCAGUAACAGAGGUUUCUGCAAACUCCAUUAAAAAAAUAACAUUUUAAAAGAGAUAUAAGCUGCUGCUUAAUAAUCUGCCGAGUUUAAUCCAUGGUGCAAUCUCCAUAGAAAAAAACAAAACAAAAAAAAAAAAAAAACAGAAGAAAAUUAAGUUCUGCAAAUGCCCCAGCAAACGCAUGCAUAUCGUGACAUACCUGCGAAAUGAACAAUAGAAUAUUCUCUAUGUACAAGACGAAAAGAGAGGGUACAAAUGUUUUAAAAAUGUAACAACUUUGAAAGGAGAAAACAUGAAAAGAAAAAGCAAUUCAUGCUUUCAAACGUCGUAAUCAAUAUCGGUGCUGUUCUGCGACAUUGAUCUUUUAACUAGCCGUCCAUGCUCGUCAUAUAGGUCCAAAUUUUCGCAUGGCGUGGGGAAAACGUAGCCAAUGACGCGGCCUUCAACAAAGGAGCACUGGAAGAUGUGCUUCUUCUUGUAUGUGAUCCCAAUCGAUAUAUCCUGGAAAGUAAUGUCCUUUAUAGGUAUCUCCUCGCUACCGUGAAUCCGAACCGGCACUCGUACGCCGUACCCGUGGACUUGGACAUAGGAUAUGUUCUUAAGGACAGGGACUGCUUUUGGAUCGAAGCCCUCAUCGGGGUGCUCAUUGUAGUCGGUCUUUAUAACUAUCCCAACACGGACAUUGUCGAAAGUUAAAUUGCGGUAGGAGAUGUCACGGACAUAGCCCCCUCUUCCAGGGGCUGUCUUUAUCCGUACAGCACGCCUUGAUUCCCAGACGUGAAGGUUUUCUAUCGAAACGUUCGAAACUCCACCCGACAUCUCACUGCCAAUCGAUACUCCUGCACUGUGCAGCAACCGACAUGAUUUAAUAACAACAUUACCAUCAGAGGAAUAUCAUCAGAUAUUAGCAUUUGUUCUGCAGAUCUUUUAGAAACUCUACAGUACAGAAUGAAUGUAUAUGACGAGGAAUGAUUGGAGGUUUUAAAUAUUGUGCUUUUUGUGCUAACCAGAUAUUUCCCUUCGAUGAGACUACUAACUUGCAGGUUUUAAGAACAGUGUGUGUGAUAUCUGCAACCAAAUAUUUUCCUUCAAGAAACUUUUCAGACGAUCUCAACAGAAUUCCUAGCUGUUCAUCUUUCCAUAUAAAUCCUUCUUUCCAAAAAUAAGGUACUGAGCAUUUUCUGGUGGAAUCUACAAAUGCCUUUCGUUAACAGUUUUAAGUUGUGUCUUUUCCAUCCUUCCAACACCACUAGACACUCUACGCCCAAUACUAUACUGUUGUGAAAUUCAAGUACACAGUGUACUAAAGUAAAAAUUGCUAUGAAAGAUUCUUAGAUUCCAUCCAAAGAUGCAUAGCAACAAUUUUUUAUAAAGAAAAUUAUAAGCUAAAGGAUUAUAAAUAGACAAAGUUUAAAAGCAUUCUGACUAAAAAAGUAAAGGACAUAAAUUUCUUUUAGAAAUUUAUGGACAGCCUAGGGAUAAUCGGACUAUGGCAAUCCUAAUAUUGUGUUCUGAAUCACUUAGUCAAACGUUUUCACAGAUAUAGUCAAACAAUAUUCAGCCCUUCUCGCAAAGGCAUGUGGCAGGCUAGAACCAAUGUUCAGAGUGGCUCCAGAUCUCCUAUUUCAACAUGGAAUGGUAGUACCCUAGUAAUUAUAUAGGUUCUGCUGUUCUCAAUUGCAGCACAUGACUGUCUAAUUUAGGAAAGUAAUUAUGAAAUUAAAUUGUUAGGUAGAUGAAUAACACACUUGAAUAAAAUAUCUCACCUCACAACGGAGCGAACUGUGACAUUACGGAUCAAAAUAUUAGCAGACGGACGCCCAUAUGCAAUUCCAUACUGAUCCCAACCACUCUUUAUUGCUAUUCCGUCAUCACCGACACAUAUGUAACAAUUCUCUAUCACCAUAUCUUCACAAGAAUCUGCAUGCACAACCUGAAGGGCUCAGAAAUAAAAAGGGAAAGAUGAAAGGAAAUGCGCUGUCUUUAAGUUCUGUUUUCAUGUGUGUAGCUUUAUAGUGAGAUUAGAAAGAAUAAAUGGAGCACAGUAAAUAUGAAAUAAGAAAAAGUCAUUUCCAGAUUGAGUUUUUAUAGAGAUGACAAAAAAAGUACAAUUAAUUUCCUAGAAACUAAUGCAGCUGGACCAUUACCUAUUGCAGGAAGUAAAAUGACUCAAAACAGCUAAAAGCUGUAAGAUUACCUGGAUCUAUUCCAUCUGUGUUUGGAGCCCCAGAAACUGGAGCCAAGAUGGUAACAUUCGAGACAGUUACAUUCUUGCAGUCAUAGGGAUGAAGCGUCCAGAAUGGAGAAUCUCGCAGAGUUAUAUUUGAAAUGAUGAUGUCCCUUGACCACAUCAACUGUACAAGAGGCCCCCUUGUAUAAUUGAGAAUCCUUCUUUUAUAUUUUGUCCACCAACUUUGGCCCUGUCCAUUUAUGGUACCAUUGUGUCCUGUUGGGCAAAGAGGAAAGAAAAGCACCCGAGCAAUCAAACACUACAAUUUUUCUUAUCAAUAACAAGGGCAAUCUACUAUAUCAAACCAUGGCAAAUUGGCAACUGGAAAGCAAUUAGACCGGCAGUAUGAACCAACUAUGUGCAAGGAAAUACUUAACAACAUACUCUACAGGCCAUAGAUUGAUAAAGCAAGUACAACAGAAAAGCAAGCCAUGUAUCUCAGCUCUUUCAGAAAAACCAAUCAUAGUACAGCAGAUUGAUAUGGAUAAAUUGUUCCAAAAUUUAUGAAAACAUUGAGGAUACAUUUAAAGUCUGUUCAUUUAAUAGCUGGAAGCUUACUCUAUUUAACUCGAAAAUGCCCAUGGACCUCUUAUUCACCAUCAUAAAUAUAUAAAACAAGGGGAAAAUGUCUAGGAAAUCCAAGAAAAGCUGGAUUGUUGAUUGGCUCUUGAUGCCUCGCCUUCUCCAGGUGGGGGAAACAUAGGAAAAUUAAAGCUUGAUUUGCUUAUUAAAAAGGUAUUCUCUAGCAAGAACAAAAAGAGUGUUUUGGAUAAGACCUUCAUUGUCUUUCUUCUUUCUGUAUCCUUUUCUUUGCAUCCUGUCAUAUAAUUAAGUUGUUUAUUAAUGUAUAAAAAUCUCCAACCAUGACAUACACCUCUUCUUUGGGCAUUUAUUAUCCAGUUCAGUUUCUUAAUGAAAUUCUACAACUGCGAAAGUUGAGAUAAGGACUUGAUGGAAUAGCAAAAUAUAAAUUAGCAACUAACCUGUUAUAACCACGUCCUUCAAAUUUUGGCCAUGAAUAAGGCUCCCAUACCGAGGUCCCUUAUGCUCCCUUCCAUACCCAUAGGAUGGCAAUGGAGGCAUUAAUGGCCAAUAAUUCUCAUCCUGAAAUGGAUCACGUAAUAGAAUUUAUUAAUAAGGCAUAAUUAUCCAUUCACCUGGGAAAUGGACAAAAAUUGAGUAGCACAGAUUUGAUGGAGAAACUAUUGCAUUUUAGAUCUUGCAAAAUUCAUACUUCAAAGUAGACUUUACUCAUUAUAGUGAAUACUGAGUAGCCAAAGUCUGAAAAUUCACAAAUCACACCAGUAAUGAAUGUUCACACUUCAACAAACAAGUGACAUUUUGUGAUUUUAGACAACUUAAACAUGUUCCAAGAAAAGAGUAAAAGGCACUAUCUAUACAGACAUUAAGUAAUUAUGUUAACUUACGUUUUUUUUUUAAUUUUUUUAAAAGUAUAAUAUAAGAUUCCAAAUAAGGAUAAAAGACCACAACAUUCAUCCUAAUAACAACCUCCAUAUUUGGAUCCCAACGUAGAUUAUACUAUCUCCAAACAAAGUUAAACUCACACACAAGCCAAUCUGAUGACUAAUAUCUGACCUUUUUACCAUGUGCUAAAACAGCAUUUCUUCUGAGAAAACUGUGGAAUAACAAAAGUCCUGCAUUAUACAUUCGUCUCUAAGAGCCGCUCAGUGCAGAAGGAUCUGGCCACUGUUGGGUCUUGCAAAAGAUCAAAUGAGCUCAAGCUUACUCCAUGAGUCAAAACUCACGCCAAGUAUGAUCCAUACUUGAGGAGUUAACCAUAGAAUGUCCAAAGACCUGACCUCUCCCAUGCAUAAUCCCAUAUGUAAGAAACAAGCAUCCACACUAGAAUUGCUAAUUUACAUGCAUCGAAACAGUGCCAGAUCCCACACUAGAUUUUCUCAUUUACAUGGAUCCACACAGUGCUGCGAAAGUUUGGUUUUCUGGAUUACUAGAUCUGAAAUCUUUUGCAGUCUUUCAAGACCUCUUUGGCUUCCCACAGUCAGUAGCUGUAGUAUCAUUUCAAACUAGAGAAUUUCAAUAGCAUCAUUGUAAGCUACUAGUACCCAUCAGUGUAAGAUUAAGAAGAAGAUUAGCAAGAGAUGCAAUUCAUAUCAGUUGCGUGACCGUGAGAAUUCUUUAAGCUCUCAUAGGCAGAGAAAUCAACAAAAACUUGUUACAAUCCAAGAUACACAAUGGAAUCCUAUAAGGCUGCCCUACAACAAGAACCAUCUGAUCCACAAAAUGAAAAUACUCGAUACAUAUAUCUCAGUUAAUUAUAUGAAGUGCAUUAUCUCUUUCUCUUCGCCAAAUCCAAAUUUGGCAUUGUCCAAUGCAGCAAAGUCAAAAUUUGGCAUAUAUACUGGCAAUUUCCAAAGUCAAAUUAUGAUAAGAACAAAGCAGAGACAUCAAAAACCGUGCUUUAUCUUCUGUAACAGUUAAACCCCGAAAAUCCCCAAACGAUCAUAUAAAGGUGAAUUUGGAAAGGGGAAUAGGCAAAGAGAAACGAAACCCUAAAUUCUCACCUGUAACCCAAGAAUCUCAGCCCCCUCCGCGAGGAAGAGGGUCAUGUGGCUCGUGAGAUUGAAGGGCGCCGUGAGCCAGAGCCCGGGAGGCACAUUGAGCUGCCCCCCGCCCUUCCUCGCGAGCCGCGCGAUCGCCGCCACCGCGCGCUCGAACGCCUCGGUGUUGAGCGUCUUCCCGUCGCCGACCCCCCCAAAAUCCGUGAGAUUGUACGCCACCGCCCUGAGCCUAGGGACCGUCCUCAUCGGCGGCGGCGUCGCCCACCCGAAGUACCCGAUCCCGCUCCCAAUGGAGCUGCUCUGCCACAAGAAAACCGCCAUGAACACGGCGACCCACAGCGAGGCGAAGAGGGUCUUGUACGAGGAGACGAGCCCCGGGAGCCACCGCCGAUGCUGCGCGAAGUGGAACCUCCCCGAGGAGGAUACUAUAUCCACCAUUAUUACCCUAGAUCUACGCUAAAGGAGAGGUAAGACGACGAUACCAAUUGUAAAACCCUAGAUUUCACGAGAAGAGGCCAGACUCGGAUCGAUCGGUAGAUCCGGAGGAGUAGAGCUCGGCUGCGAUGGUGAGAAGGGCAGAGGAAUGGGAAUUGGAGCGAGGGGUCUGGAUUCGCGUGGCUAGGGUUUCGGCCAUAGGGGUGGAGGUGGGUGGGGUUUUUAAAAAUGGGGCGGGACGUGGAGUGAGGUUGAAGGGAAGAGAGAGAGAGAGAGAGAGAGAGAGAGAGAGAGAGGUCGCUUCGGCCGCUGAAAGGAAAGGGGAAGAAGAUGAUGAUAAUUUACGAAAAUACCCUCAGUAUAACGAAUAAUUUUAACGGUGGAUCCUCUGCUAACUCUCCGCGCGGAUCUCUGAUCUGACGGCUGAGGAGCUCUACAACUUGGAUCUAGUGUGUCUAACUACAGUGAAGAUAAAAAUCGAACUAGGUUUGGAUAAAAUUUUUAUGAUCUAAUUUGAAAAUUUUGGAUUGUAGAUUUUUUCGUUUAAAGACUUUAUAUUUUGAAUCUGAGUAAACUUAAUGCUUUUUAAAUAAAAUUUAGAGUGCGAAUUUUGAUGCACGUCAGACCGCGGAAUAUGUUUGUUCGUAUGACUCGUGAGGAAAAAAAAAAAAAAAAUACCGUUUAGAAAAAGUAUACUAUAAUUUUUCGAAAUUAAGGUAAGGGUGUUAUUAGGAUCCAAACUGGUUGAUUCAAACCAAUUCAAUCGCAACCAAAUCCAUUUAUCAAGAUUCGUCAAAUAAAUAAGCCGAGUUUGGAUCAAGAAACAAAAAUCUUAUUGAUCAGUCAGAUAGUAUUCUAGCGAUAAGUUUUUUGUGACACUUUAUAUGAUGAUCCGAUUUUCUUCAUUUUUAUAGUCAGAAUCAUAAAGCCUUCGAUAGCACUGCAUAAAUAUAAUCUAAUCGGAUCAACGUAGUCUACAUGAUGUGAUAUUAUUUUCAAAAAAAAAAAACUUUUUUAUUUUUUUUUUACUGUACUUAAUGCUGAGUCAGCAAUUUCAACAGAAGUUAUUUAUGGUUUAGACCUUAUAACAUACACAAAUGAAUGGGAACACUCAUGAUGAUGAUAUUGUUAGUUGUGUUGUCUCCGUUGUUGUUGAGAUGGGAGUGGUAGUUACCCCAUCAUACAAAGUAGGUGAGGCAAAGCUUUCGUUGGGUGAACUAAAAAGGACAAGAAGAUGGUAUAACAUAGAAUCUCACUCAUAAAGCACAAACCUAAUUGUGAGGAGGGAGUGGAUGUGUUUUAAAAAAGCUUUAUAGAUGUUGUGGUGUAGAUGUUGGAUUUGAGUACAAGUAUAGUUUAACUUAAUAUGAUGGAACUAGACUCGAAUACUUUUAAUAGUAUUAAGUUAUUGGUGCUAUUAAGUUUUCGACUCUUAGAUGAAGAGAUGUACGAUUUGAAUGAUAGUGAUCCCUUAGAGUUGAGUGGAUCAUUGAUUGAACAGUUUAACCUAUUGGAUGAAAAUGGUCAAAGAGAUAGAUCUUGUUGGAAAUGUGAUUUUCUCUGAUACCAAUUAUUGGAACUGGUGUUUGUAAUCUAAAAUAGAACAAAAUAAUAUGAAGAAGAGAUAUUGGAGGAGGAAGAAGAUAACUAAACUAAUACUUUAUUAAUAAAAAGCAAUUAAUUACAUCCUGAGUAACAUCCAUGCAGUCAUAUCUACUGUGACUUAUUACGCUAACUAACUCAUGCCUAAUUAUAUAUAGUUCAUCAAAUUAUAACAAAUGAUAAAUCUAAUUUUACUUUAGAUAAUUAAAAAAUUUAAAACUUAUCUCUAAUUAUAUUUUAAUUAAGUUUGGAUUAUUAUUCCAACAUCCUCCCUUAAUCCAAACUUCAUCUUCAAACCGUGAACUCCAUGAAACGCGCACUUUGAUUUUGCAAUCUCUGUCGCUGUUGUUGUCGUCUUGUUAAAGUUGUACAGCAUGACGACUAUCCAAUGAUGUUUACCAAAUUCUUUUUUAUAAUUUUUAUUAUCCACUACAUCCCACAAAUCUUUGGAUUCUAAAAAAUAUCGAAUGAUGAUUUUCCAUCGUUUAAUCCAUCGAACUUUGGUAAGCCAAAUUGAAUAAACCAAUUAUCUAAAUCCAUAACAAAAACUUGAAAAAUCGAAAAAUAAGUUUCAGAUUUGUACUUUUUGGUUUGGAUGAUGUCCUUAAUUCAUCGAGAUCUCGCCAAAUUUUCUGUACUUCGGCUUGCUUGCCUAGCCUUCCUGGCUAUCUAGUCAAGUCUUCUUGGAUCUCUUCACAGGCUCUCCUCGCUCUCUUCUCGUCAAGCAUCACAACCACCUGCUAUCGUGUGUUGUGCGGAGGCCAAUUUCUUCAAAGGGAUUCCUUCGCUUUGAUUUCACCUGAACGCCACCUUCGUCAAUCUACUACGAGUCGCUUGAUUUUGACGUAGCUAUCCAGUACAUUGGAUCUAUAUUCUUUUCGAAUCUGCUAUCAUCUGGUUUAUAAGUCACAUGGUACUUUCCGGCUCUGAUACUACUUAUUGGGAGCGUGAUUUUCUCUGAUACCAAUUGUUGGAACUAGUAUUUGUGCUAAUACCGAUUAUACAACACAAGAUAACUAAAUUAAUACUUUAUUAAUAAAAAGCAAGUAAUUACAUCCUAGGUAACACCCAUGCAGCCAUAUCUACUGUGGCUUAUUCCUCUAAUUAACCUAUGCCUAACUAUAUAUAGCUCAUCAAAUUAUAACAGAUGAUAAAUCCAAUUUUAUUUUGGAUAAUUACAUAUCCUAAUCAUAAUCAAAUAAAAAAUUUAAACUUAUCUCUAAUUAUAUUUUAAUUAAGUUUGGAUUAUUAUUCCAACAGAUCUAACGGAGAAAAAUUUGGCAGCACCAAGUGUUUGGUGCUAUUGAUAGUAUAGUAAUUGAACUCCGUAUGAUGAAUUGGGCUUUAUUUUUUUUUUGAGAGAUAGGUAGUACGCUACCCGCUUCGUUUAUUUCAUUUAGAAAUAAACUUAGCUAGAAAUGUGAAUCAAAUAGGAUUCGAACUUGGGUCUCGGGUACCAACCACCAAGUCCUUUGCCACUUGUUCUAGGGACGGUCGGUUGAAUUGGGCUUUUAAGUGCAAAAAAGAGAUAGUGCACUAGUAGAUAUUAUUGAAUGUAGAAUAUUAAAUGUUAUUUGCAAACAAUUUAAGUUUUGAAAGUAAAGAGUUGUUUGGCCUAGAUGCUGGAAAAUAAUUUUAGGAUCAAAAAGUGAUUUAUUCUUUAAUAGAGCGUUUGAUAAUCUCUUUUUUAAAAAAAUCUGAUUCUGUCUUAAAAUUAGUUUUCUGAUUUUAGAACCCUAAAAUCAAAAACAGUUAAAACUUACCUCUUUAAAUCUGAUUCUGAUUUUGAAUUCAAAAUUUAAAUUUAAAUUUAAAUUUAUAAAUUUUAAAUCUCAAAUUUUAAACCUAAAAUUUAAAAUUUUUAAUUUAAGAUAGAAUUUAAAUUUUGAAAUUUGAAAUUUUAAAAUUUUAAUUUUAAAUUUUAAGUUUUGAAAUUUUAAGUUUAAAAUUUAAAAUUUAAAAUUAAAAUUUUUAAGUUUAAAUUUUAAAUUUAAAUAUAGAAUUUUAUAUUGAAAAUUUCAAUAUUCAGAUUUAGAUUUUAAAUAUCAAAUUAAAGAAUUAGUAGAUCUGUUCCGCCCGCAAUAGAGUUAUGAACUUAUAAAUUUUUAAUUUAAAAUUUAAAAUUUAUUUUAAAUUUUAAUUUAGAAUUUAUCAAAUUUAAAAGGCCAAUUUGCAUAAAAAAUUCGCUUAUUUUGGGUUUUUGCAAAACCGGGCCACCUUUUUCAUUUUUGCAGAUUCGGUCCGCUUUUUCAGCAAACUGACUAAAAUACCCUUAUACCUUUUUCACCCCCGCACCUUCCUCGUCUGCGACCCUGCCGAGGCCGCACCGCGACUUUUUUUUUUUUCCUCUCCAACUCUCCUCCACCGUUUCCGACGACGACGCCUCUCUCACCCUUCCCCGUCCUUCUCAUCCUUUCUCUCUCCUUCCUUCUCUGCCGCCUCCGACGACGACGCAUUUUCGCCGGCACUGACAAUAUGCUGGCGCAUCCUUACCCUCGCCUGCACAUCCCUGCGCCUUCCUCACCUCCGACCCUACCGAGGCCGCGUCGCAACUCUUUUUUUUGUCCUCUUCACUCUCCUCCACUGUCUCCGACGACGACGCUUCUCUUGCCCUUCUCCGCCCUUCUCGUCCUCUCCCUCUCCCUCCUCCUCUGCCACCUCCGACGACGAUGCAUCUUCGUCGGCGCUGACGCUGGCACCGACACCGUGGAGGUCACUGCGGCGCUGCAGCCUCGGAGCGGAGGGUUCUUAGCAGCAUCGUCGCCGGCGCCGUGGAGAGGGGUGACAAAAAAAAAUUAUAAAAGAAGCAAAAAAAAAAUAAAGAUAAAAAAGUAUAGAAAAGAAGGAUGAAGAUGAAAUUGCAUCGUUAAUUGCAAAAAAAAAUUAUAAGUUGCACUACUUAAGAUGUAAAAUAUAGCUUUAAGAUAAAAAUUACACUAUUUAAACGAAAAUUAUACUCUUUGGGAGAUAUUUACGCUGUUUCUCCUCUUAAUGCACUCUUUCAGAUAUAAACUGCACCUACUAAGAUAAAAAUUACACUCUUUAAACGAAAGUUGCACUGUUUCUCCUCUUGUUGCACCAUUUCUCUUUUUGUUACACUAUUUUUUAUCUUAAACUGCACCCUUUUAAGAGAUAUUUAUACUGUUUCUCCUCUUGUUGCACUGUUUCUUCUCUUGUUGCACUAUUUCUCCUCUUGUUGCACUGUUUUUAUUUUAAACUGCAUCCUUUAAGAGGAGAAACAGUGUAACAAGAGGAGAAAUAGUGCAACAAGAAAAAAACAGUGCAACAAGAGGAGAAACAGUAUAAAUAUCUCUUAAAUGAGUGCAGUUUAAGAUAAAACAUAGUGUAACAAGAGAAGAAAUAGUGCAACAAGAGGAGAAAUAGUGAAAUUUUCGUUUAAAGAGUGCAACUUUCAUCUUAAUGGAUGUAGUUUACAUAUGAAAGAGUGCAAUAAGAGAAGAAACAGUGUAAAUAUCUCCCAAAGAGUGUAAUUUUUGUUUAAAAAGUGUAAUUUUCAUUUUAAAGCUGCAGUUUACAUUUUAAGUAAUACAACUUAUAAUUUUUUUUUUCAGUUAACGAUGCAAUUUCAUUUUCAUCCUUAUUUUUCUAUAAUUUUUUAUCUUUAUUUUUUUUUCUUACUUUUUUUAUAAUUUUUUUGGUUACCCCUCUCUGCCAACGACCACGGCGUCGGCGACGAUGCCUCUAAGGACCUCCCGUUCCGAGGCUGCAACGCCGUAGUGACCUCCACGGUGUCGGCGCCGGCGCCGAGAUGCAUCGUCGUCAGAGGCGGCAGAGGAGGAGGGAAAGGGAGAUGACGAGAAGGGCGGAGGAGGCAAGAGAGGCGUCGUCGUCGAAAACAGUGGAGGAGAGUCGAAGAGGAAAAAAAAAAGAGCGGCGACGUGCCCUCGGCAGGGUCGAAGGCGAGGAAGGUGCAGGGGUGUGCAGGCGAGGGUAAGGAUGCGCCGGCAUAUUGUCGGCGCCGGCGAAGAUGCGUCGUCGUCGGAGGCAGCAGAGAAGGAAUGAGAGGGAGAGGACGAGAAGGACGGGGAAGGGUGAGAGAGGCGUCGUCGUCGGAAACGGUGGAGGAGAGUCGGAGAAGAAAAAAAAAAGUCACGGUGCGGCCUCGGCAGUGUCGGAGACGAGGAAGGUGUGGGGGUGUGAGGACGAGGGUAAGGAUGCGCCGGGCAAGCCGCCUCCUCCGCCUUCGUCGCUUUCUGGGAAGAGAAAGAAAAAAAAAGAACAACGGAAAAAAAAAGAGGAGAGAGAAAAAGGUAUAAGGGUAUUUUGGUCAGUUUGCUGAAAAGCGGAUCGAAUCUACAAAAAUGAAAAAGGUGGCCCAAUUUUGCAAAAGUCCAAAAUAAGUGGAUUUUUUAUGCAAAUUGCCCAAUUUAAAAAUCUACAUUAGAUUUUAAAUUCAAAAUUAUAAAAUUUUAAAGUCAAAUUAAAAUUUUAAAAUAAGAUUUAGCAAAAAGAUUAUUACUUACAAGCGGUAAAAUAAAUUUGCCAAAUAGUCUUUUAAAAUCACUUCAGCAUAAUUGUUUUCUUGUUAGACUCGUUAAACUCUUUAGAACUUUUAACCAAAUCAAAAUUUCAAACUAAAAUCAAUUAUUUAGAAAUCACUUUUUCAAAAUUUAGAUAGACGGCCCAAAAUUUUUUAGAAUUAUCUUAUCAAAAGUUUGACGUACAAAAGAGACAGCUUAAAUUUUUAGAAUAAUUGAUUCUUGUAUAGAUAUGUACUAAAAGGCAUAAAUAAUUCUAGUUAUUUAUCAAGUACAAUGUACAUCCCUUUUGACAUAAAUGGUACAAUUUGCUAUGUGUGGAUAUACUAUGAUAAGAUGUAAAUUCGCUUUGUUUAUUUUUUUUAGAAAUAAACUUAGCUAGAAAUAUGAAUCGACUACGAUUCGAACUUGGGACCUCGAGUAUUAACCACCAAGUCCUUUGCCACUUGCGCUAGGGGCAGUCGGUUACUAUGAUAAGAUGUUAGCUCCAAAGUAGGAGGAAGUUUUUUAUAUAAUAGUUACACCAUAUUAUUUAUAUUCUAACAAAUUAAAUCUCUUAUUUAGAAAAAAGAAAUAUAAUAAAAAUGUUUUAAAAAAAUUACAAUGGAAUAAAUGAAUCUUAUUAAUUGGAAAUGCUACAUUAUUUAUAUAACUCCUAUAUUUUAGCUUCUUUUUUUUCCAAAAUAGAAGUACAAUAUGUUUCACGCUAGCGGAAUGUCACGCCCCGGAUUACACGUUCCCCGGGCACGCCGACAGAUCCGCCGUAUACAAAGAAAUUUUUCCUGUAUACGAAGCGAUAGCUGUACCUGUAAAUCAAACACUACUACGAACAGUAGUAGAGAGCUGCUAGAGAAAACUGAAGCUAAAUAAAACAGAGUUUCAUAUACAUAGUUCGGAUCCCAAAUACAGAGCUACUCGCACUGGCGAGUUAAGUCAACUAUGUACACAAACUCGAAACAAAACAUCUACCUGCAGUAGGGCACCUCUAGCUCAGCACGUCGGGUAGGGCUCUAACUCGCGACGCCCUUGCCUCGAUCCUGAUCCACGGACUGUGCAGCAGCCGGAACCUGUGGCUCUGCAAAAACAUAGGUAACAACUGGGCGUGAGAACUACUGUAAAAACAAGUAGUCCUCAGUGGGUNNNNNNNNNNNNNNNNNNNNNNNNNNNNNNNNNNNNNNNNNNNNNNNNNNNNNNNNNNNNNNNNNNNNNNNNNNNNNNNNNNNNNNNNNNNNNNNNNNNNNNNNNNNNNNNNNNNNNNNNNNNNNNNNNNNNNNNNNNNNNNNNNNNNNNNNNNNNNNNNNNNNNNNNNNNNNNNNNNNNNNNNNNNNNNNNNNNNNNNNNNNNNNNNNNNNNNNNNNNNNNNNNNNNNNNNNNNNNNNNNNNNNNNNNNNNNNNNNNNNNNNNNNNNNNNNNNNNNNNNNNNNNNNNNNNNNNNNNNNNNNNNNNNNNNNNNNNNNNNNNNNNNNNNNNNNNNNNNNNNNNNNNNNNNNNNNNNNNNNNNNNNNNNNNNNNNNNNNNNNNNNNNNNNNNNNNNNNNNNNNNNNNNNNNNNNNNNNNNNNNNNNNNNNNNNNNNNNNNNNNNNNNNNNNNNNNNNNNNNNNNNNNNNNNNNNNNNNNNNNNNNNNNNNNNNNNNNNNNNNNNNNNNNNNNNNNNNNNNNNNNNNNNNNNNNNNNNNNNNNNNNNNNNNNNNNNNNNNNNNNNNNNNNNNNNNNNNNNNNNNNNNNNNNNNNNNNNNNNNNNNNNNNNNNNNNNNNNNNNNNNNNNNNNNNNNNNNNNNNNNNNNNNNNNNNNNNNNNNNNNNNNNNNNNNNNNNNNNNNNNNNNNNNNNNNNNNNNNNNNNNNNNNNNNNNNNNNNNNNNNNNNNNNNNNNNNNNNNNNNNNNNNNNNNNNNNNNNNNNNNNNNNNNNNNNNNNNNNNNNNNNNNNNNNNNNNNNNNNNNNNNNNNNNNNNNNNNNNNNNNNNNNNNNNNNNNNNNNNNNNNNNNNNNNNNNNNNNNNNNNNNNNNNNNNNNNNNNNNNNNNNNNNNNNNNNNNNNNNNNNNNNNNNNNNNNNNNNNNNNNNNNNNNNNNNNNNNNNNNNNNNNNNNNNNNNNNNNNNNNNNNNNNNNNNNNNNNNNNNNNNNNNNNNNNNNNNNNNNNNNNNNNNNNNNNNNNNNNNNNNNNNNNNNNNNNNNNNNNNNNNNNNNNNNNNNNNNNNNNNNNNNNNNNNNNNNNNNNNNNNNNNNNNNNNNNNNNNNNNNNNNNNNNNNNNNNNNNNNNNNNNNNNNNNNNNNNNNNNNNNNNNNNNNNNNNNNNNNNNNNNNNNNNNNNNNNNNNNNNNNNNNNNNNNNNNNNNNNNNNNNNNNNNNNNNNNNNNNNNNNNNNNNNNNNNNNNNNNNNNNNNNNNNNNNNNNNNNNNNNNNNNNNNNNNNNNNNNNNNNNNNNNNNNNNNNNNNNNNNNNNNNNNNNNNNNNNNNNNNNNNNNNNNNNNNNNNNNNNNNNNNNNNNNNNNNNNNNNNNNNNNNNNNNNNNNNNNNNNNNNNNNNNNNNNNNNNNNNNNNNNNNNNNNNNNNNNNNNNNNNNNNNNNNNNNNNNNNNNNNNNNNNNNNNNNNNNNNNNNNNNNNNNNNNNNNNNNNNNNNNNNNNNNNNNNNNNNNNNNNNNNNNNNNNNNNNNNNNNNNNNNNNNNNNNNNNNNNNNNNNNNNNNNNNNNNNNNNNNNNNNNNNNNNNNNNNNNNNNNNNNNNNNNNNNNNNNNNNNNNNNNNNNNNNNNNNNNNNNNNNNNNNNNNNNNNNNNNNNNNNNNNNNNNNNNNNNNNNNNNNNNNNNNNNNNNNNNNNNNNNNNNNNNNNNNNNNNNNNNNGCAGCUGGUGCUGUCACUGGAGUAGUCGGGGGUGGAACUGGCGACUCUGGUGCCCUCGGUACAGAACUCGGUGGCUGAGCUAUCCUCUCACACAACCUCUGCAAUAGCUCCCCCUGCUGUCUCGUCACCUCAGUCAGGGCAGCCAACUGUGCACUCAAAUCUGGGAAUGCACUCGCCUCCGGUCGGGCCCUAUGCUCUACAACUGGGGGUGCACUCGCCUCUGCCUGCUCAGGCAUCCCUGGAGAUCUAGCACGAUCCUGCGCCAACUGCGCACGCUCCCGCAACGACGGUCGGCCUCUGCGACGAUACAUAGCUGAAAAGAUCGAAUCGGGGUCAGUUGAAACACAAACACUCUUGACCCAAUCAAACGAAAGUCUAGAAGGCGGCUCCAGUUUCUCCUCAAAAUUAUGUCGUCUGCAGCCAACAUAAUUUCUCAGGCCAAAACAGAA
Molecule: long non-coding RNA, 56837 nt
Filed under: Ananas comosus (pineapple)
Lineage: Eukaryota; Viridiplantae; Streptophyta; Magnoliopsida; Poales; Bromeliaceae
Description: long non-coding RNA (ACOM_LNC003976)
Source: RNAcentral